UUUAUUAUUAUCUUCUACCUUAUGCAAGAGUCAUGGUGAUUUUCACCUUUCCUUUUUAUAUUUUAUCCUUUGGCAAGCACAGGAUGUUCGAAACAUCCUGAUAGAUAUAUCUAAUUGGAUAUGGGUUGGCAUGAACUAUUAUUGUUGACAUUACCCUUGAGGUAAAAGGUUGGGAGGCGAAACUAUAAGCCCCUAUCUUUCUCUGUGUCCUAUUAAAACUCCGUAACCACAAGUAUUGCGCGAGUGUUAGCAAUUAUGAAAGACUAAAUGAUAGUUGAGUAUGUGGACUUGCUAGAAGGCUCUGACAUAGACUCUUUCUGAUGUUAUGAUAAAUUGCAAUUGCUUCACUGACUGAGAUUAUAGUUUGUUAGUUCUCAAUAAAGUUUCUGAUUCAUACUUUGCAUUGUGAAUAGAUUAUUACUUGAGCAUAAGAAAUCAUAUGACAAAAUCCAUAUAUGUUGCUGUUAUGAGAAUAAUCAUGAUGCCCUCAUGUCCGUAUUUUAUUUUAUCGACACCUCUACCUCUAAACAUGUGGACAUAUUUAUCGUUAUCGGCUUCCGCUUGAGGACAAGCGAGGUCUAAGCUUGGGGGAGUUGGUACGUCCAUUUUGCAUCAUGCUUUUAUAUUGAUAUUUAUUGCAUUAUGGGCUGUUAUUACACAUUAUGUCACAAUACUUAUGCCUAUUCUCUCUUAUUUUACAAGGUUUACAUAAGGAGGGAGAAUGCCGGCAGCUGGAAUUCUGGGCUGGAAAAGGAGCAAAUAUUAGAGACCUAUUCUGCACAACUCCAAAAGUCCUGAAACUCCACGAAAGUUAUUUUUGGAAAUAAUAAAAAAUACUGAGCGGAAGAAAUACGUCAGGGGGGCCUCCACCUGUCCACGAGGGUGGGGGGCGCGCCCCCUGCCUCGUGGGCCUCCUGUUGGUCCUCCGGUGGCCAUCUUCUGCUAUAUGAAGUCUUUUGUCCGAAGAAAAAUCAUAAGCAAGCUUUUGGGACGAGACUCCGCCGCCACAAGGCGGAACCAAUCUAGGGCUCCAGUAGAGCUGUUCUGCCGGGGACACUUCCCUCCGAGAGGGGGAGAUCAUCGCCAUCGUCAUCACCAACGCUCCUCUCAUCGGGAGAGGGCAAUCUCCAUCAACAUCUUCACCAGCACCAUCUCCUCUCAAACCCUAGUUCAUCUCUUGUAUCCAAUUCUUGUCUCCAAGUCUGGGAUUGGUACCUGUAGGUUGCUAGUAGUGUUGAUUACUCCUUGUAGUUGAUGCUAGUUGGUUUAUUUGGUGGAAGAUCAUAUGUUCAGAUCCUUUAUGCAUAUUAAUACUCCUCUGAUUAUGAACAUGAAUAUGCUUUGUGAGUAGUCACAUUUGUUCCUGAGGACAUGGGAGAAGUCUUGCUAUUAGUAGUCAUGUGAAUUUGGUAUUCGUUCGAUAUUUUGAUGAGAUGUAUGUUGUCUAUCCUCUAGUGGUGUUUGUGAACGUCGACUACAUGACACUUCACCAUUAUUUGGGCCUAGAGGAAGGCAUUGGGAAGUAAUAAGUAGAUGAUGGGUUGCUAGAGUGACAGAAGCUUAAACCCUAGUUUAUGCGUUGCUUCGUAAGGGGCUGAUUUGGAUCCAUAUGUUUCAUGCUAUGGUUAGGUUUACCUUAAUACUUUUGUUGUAGUUGCGGAUGCUUGCAAUAGAGGUUAAUCAUAAGUGGGAUGCUUGUUCAAGUAAGAACAACACCCAAGCACCGGUCCACCCACAUAUCAAAUUAUCAAAGUACCGAACGCGAAUCAUAUGAACGUGAUGAAAACUAGCUUGAUGAUAAUUCCCAUGUGUCCUCGGGAGCGCUUUUCUCUAUAUAAGAGUUUUUCUAGGCUUAUCCUUUCCUACAGAAAGGAUUGGGCCACCUUGCUGCACUUUAUUUACUUUUGUUACUUGUUGCUCGUUACAAAUUAUCCUAUCACAAAACUAUCUGUUACCUAUUAUUUCAGUACUUGCAGAGAAUACCUUGCUGAAAACCGCUUAUCAUUUCCUUCUGCUCCUCGUUGGGUUCGACACUCUUACUUAUCGAAAGGACUACAAUAGAUCCCCUAUACUUGUGGGUCAUCAAUCACCAACGCUCCUCUCAUCGGGAGAGGGCAAUCUCCAUCAACAUCUUCACCAACACCAUCUCCUCUCAAAACCUAGUUCAUCUCGUGUAUCCAAUUCUUGUCUCCAAGUCCGGGAUUGGUACCUGUAGGUUGCUAGUAGUGUUGAUUACUCCUUGUAGUUGAUGCUAGUUGGUUUAUUUGGUGGAAGAUCAUAUAUUCAGAUCCUAUAUGCAUAUUAAUACCCCUCUGAUUAUGAACAUGAAUAUGCUUUGUGAGUAGUUACGUUUGUUCCUGAGGACAUGGGAGAAGUCUUGCUAUUAGUAGUCAUGUGAAUUUGGUAUCCGUUCGAUAUUUUGAUGAGAUGUAUGUUGUCUAUCCUCUAGUGGUGUUAUGUGAACAUCGACUACAUGACACUUCACCAUUAUUUGGGCCUAGAGGAAGGCAUUGGGAAGUAAUAAGUAGAUGAUGGGUUGCUAGAGUGAAAGAAACUUAAACCCUAGUUUAUGCGUUGCUUCGUAAGGGGCUGAUUUGGAUCCAUAUGUUUCAUGCUAUGGUUAGGUUUACCUUAAUACUUUUGUUGUAGUUGCGGAUGCUUGCAAUAGAGAUUAAUCAUAAGUGGGAUGCUUGUUCAAGUAAGAACAGCACCCAAGCACCGGUCCACCCACAUAUCAAAUUAUCAAAGUACCAAACGCGAAUCAUAUGAACGUGAUGAAAACUAGCUUGACGAUAAUUCCCAUGUGUCCUCGGGAGCGCUUUUCUCUAUAUAAGAGUUUGUCUAGGCUUGUCCUUUGCUACAAAAAGGAUUGGGCCACCUUGCUGCACUUUAUUUACUUUUGUUACUUGUUGCUCGUUACAAAUUAUCCUAUCACAAAACUAUCUGUUACCUAUUAUUUCAGUGCUUGCAUAGAAUACCUUGCUGAAAACCGCUUAUCAUUUCCUUCUGCUCCUCGUUGGGUUCGACACUCUUACUUAUCGAAGGACUAUGAUAGAUCCCCUAUACUUGUGGGUCAUCAGCCAGCCCUUCCAAAGCCGUCCACAAUCACAUUCUCCGCCCGGAGAAUCUUCACGUGCCAACAGUAACUCUCCCCACCCCCCUCCGUCGUCAUUUCUUUCAACCCCUCCCCCUGCUACAAACUCUAACUCGGACCCUGCUGCGGCGGACACAGCUCUCCCUCUUCAGGAUCUUGACACUCAUGAGUGCACUGCUCGCAAGGAGCGCCGCAGGUAUGCUCGCGAUCGCUCUGUCUCCAAGGACAAGUUACGCCGGAGCGCACGUCUUGCUGCCAAAGAAACCAAGUAUUCCCUCAUGCUCGCCAAAGCUGUCAAGGCCAAGGCAGCUCGCCUCUCCACCUCCGACGUUGACACGGCCAUUGGACAUGCUAUCCAGGAUGCCCGCCUUGAUGCUCCCGACGGCCCACUUGCCUCGGCUGAAGACUUGGCCACGAUCGCGCUCCUCUGUGGCGCGGACGACGGCCACCUCGACGCCAUCCUCUCCUCCGAGGAGGCCGCCUCUGGUGACGACUCCGAGCCAUGAUCGCUGCCCCAUCCAUGCACGGCCCACGGACGUCUGGGGCCCACUGCAAGUUAACGUCCGUCUCUAUUAGUUGUAGUUGUCACGUGUGUCAUGUCGCGCUGCUCUUUUGGACUCUGUGCGCAUUGCCUUUUGUUUGGCUAUCUGCUGUCUCAACUGAUGUAGUAGGUCUCAUGUACUCCUUCGCGCUUUCCGCCGUCCGCCUGUGGUGUCGAAAAACCUUUUAUGAGUAAUGAUGUAAGCUCUAUCUGCUCCUGGAAUGUAUGUGGUCUGGGUGAUGACGACAAGUGUAAUGUUGUCCUCUCUGAACUUUUAGCGAUCAACCCUCACGUUGCCCUCUUGCAGGAAUCUAAACUAGAAUCUUACACCGACGCCAAGCUUCGCUCCUUUCUACCCUUCCACCUCGACCAAGCCUUUCCACUGCCCGCCAUUGGCACGACCGCGGCACCAUAACCGCCGUUAACCCCUCCUCUCUCCAGGUCAUCUCGCACUCGCACAAAAUUUUCUCCUCCACCGUAACUCUAAGAUCAACUGCAUGUGCCCUCAACAUCGCCAUCACCAACAUCUACGCUCCCUCUACACGUGCCCUCAAACAAGCUUUCUUUGCCGACCUCCUCUCCAUCGCGCAACCUGACCAUGCUCCUUGGCUUGUCCUCGGCGAUUUCAACCUCCUUCGCUUUCCCUCGGACAAAAACAACUCCUCCUUUCGACAGUUAGAAGCUAAUGCCUUUAACCACGUUAUCGACACCUUAGCCCUCAUUGAACUGCCUCUCCUCGACCGACAAUUUACGUGGACCAACAACCGCUCCUCGUCCGAACAUCAUAACUGCACCCUAUUGGAUAUGGUGCAUUCCAUGAUGUUUCUUAUCAAAUUACCACUAUCGUUUAUGGGUUAGGCAUUAGAGACAACCGCAUUCACUUUAAAAGGGGCACCACGCAAUUCCGUUGAGACGACACCGUUUAUAGAAACCUAAGUUGUCGUUUCUUAAAAGUUUGGGGCUGCGAUGCUUAUGUGAAAAAGUUUCAGGCUGAUAAGCUCGAACCCAAAGUGGAUAAAUGCAUCUUCAUAGAAUACCCAAAAACAGUUGGGUAUACCUCCUAUUUCAGAUCUGGAAGCAAAAGUAAUUGCUUCUAGAAACGAGUCCUUUCUCGAGGAAAAGUUUCUCUCGAAAGAAUUGAGUGGGAGGAUGGUGGAGACUUGAUAAGGUUAUUGAACUGUCGCUUCAACUAGUGUGUAGCAAGGCACAGGAAGUUGUUCCUGUGGCACCUACACCAAUUGAAGUGGAAGCUUAUGAUGGUGAUCAUGAAACUUCGGAUCAAGUCACUACCAAACCUCGUAGGACGACGAGGAUGCACACUACUUCAGAGUAAUGCGUGAUCCUGCCUUGGAAGUCAUGUUGCUAGACAACUAUGAACCUACGAGCUAUGGAGAAGCGAUGGUGGGCCCAUAUUCCGACGAAUGGCUCGAGGCCAUGAAAUCCGAGAUAGAAUCCAUGUAUUAGAACAAAGCAUGGACUUUGGUGAACUUGCCCGUUGAUCGGCAAGCCAUUGAGAUAAAUGGAUCUUUAAGAAGAAGACGAACAUGGACGGUAAUGUUACCGUCUAAGAAGCUCGACUUGUGGCAAAGAGUAUUUUCACAAGUUCAAGGAGUUGACUACGAUGAGUUUUUCUCAUCCGUAGUGAUGCUUAGGUCCGUCGGAAUCAUGUUAGCAUUAGCUACAUUUAUGAAAUCUGGCAGAUGGAUGUCAAAACAAGUUUCCUUACCAGUUUUCGUAAGGAAAGGUUGUAUAUGAUACAAUCAGAAAGGUUUUGUCGAUCCUAAGGAUGCUAAAAGGUAUGCUAGCUCCAGCGAUCCUUCCCUGGAUUAGAGCAAGCAUCUCGGAGUCAGAAUAUACGCUUUGAUGGAGUGAUCAAAGUUUUUGGGUUUAUACAAAGUUUGUUAGAAUCUUGUAUUUACAAUAAAGUGAGUGGGAGCGCUACAACAUUUCUGAUAAUUAUAUGUGAAUGACAUAUUGUUGAUCCGAAAUGAUGUAAAAUUUCUGGAAAGCAUAAAGGGUUGUUUGAAAGGAGUUUUUCAAAGGAAGACCUGGAUAAAGCUACUUACAUAUUGGGCAUCAAGAUCCAUAGAGAUAGAUCAAGACGCCUGAUGAUACUUUCAAAAGACAGCACACCUUGACAUGAUUUUGAAAGAGUUCAAAAUAGAUCAGCAAAGAAGGAGUUAUUGGUUGUGUUACAAGGUGUGAGUAUUGAGUGAGACUCAAGACCUGACCACAGCAGAAGAUAGAGAAAGGACGAAGGUCGUCCCCUAUGCUUUAGACGUAGGCUCUAUUGUAUGCUAUGUUGUGUACCGCACAUGUAGUGUGCCUUGCCAUGAGUUGGUCAAGAGGGUACAAUGGUGAUCCGGGAAAGGAUCUCAUGACAGCGGUUGAACUUAUCCUUAGUACCUAGUGGAUUAAGGAAUUUUCUCGAUUAUGGAGGUGGAAAGGAGUUCGUCAUAAAGGGUUACGUCGAUGCGAACUUUGACACUAAUCCGGAUGACUCUGAGUAGUAAACCGGAUUCGUAUAGUAGAGCAAUUAUUUGAAAUGGCUCCAAAUAGCGCGUGGUAGCAUCCACAAAGAUGACAUAGAUAUUCGUAAAGCACACGGUUCUGAAAGGUUCAGACCCGUUGACUAAUAACCUCUCUCACAAGCAUAACAUGACCAAACCAGAACACAUUGAGUGAUAAUCACAUAGUGAUGUGAACUAGAUUGUUGACUCUAGUAAACUCUUUAGAUGUUGGUCACAUGGUGAUGUGACCAGUGAGUGUUAAUCACAUGGUGAUGUGAACUAGAUUAUUGACUCUAGUGCAAGUGGGAGACUGUUGGAAAUAUUCCCUAGAGGCAAUAAUAAAUUGGUUAUUAUUAUAUUUCCUUAUUCAUGAUAAUCGUUUAUUAUCCAUGCUAGAAUUGUAUUGAUAGGAAACUCAGAUACAUGUGUGGAUACAUAGACAACACCAUGUCCCUAGUAAGCCUCUAGUUGACUAGCUCGUUGAUCAAUAGAUGGUUACGGUUUCCUGACCAUGGACAUUGGAUGUCGUUGAUAACAGGAUCACAUCAUUAGGAGAAUGAUGUGAUGGACAAGACCCAAUCCUAAGCAUAGCAUAAAAGAUCGUGUAGUUUCGUUUGCUAGAGCUUUUCUAAUGUCAAGUAUCUUUUCCUUAGACCAUGAGAUCGUGCAACUCCCGGAUACCGUAGGAGUGCUUUGGGUGUGCCAAACGUCACAACGUAACUGGGUGACUAUAAAGGUGCAUUACGGGUAUCUCCGAAAGUGUCUGUUGGGUUGGCACGGAUCGAGACUGGGAUUUGCCACUCCGUGUGACGGAGAGGUAUCUCUGGGCCCACUCGGUAAUGCAUCAUCAUAAUGAGCUCAAUGUGACUAAGGCGUUAGUCACGGGAUCAUGCAUUGCGGUACGAGUAAAGAGACUUGCCGGUAACGAGAUUGAACAAGGUAUUGGGAUACCGACGAUCGAAUCUCGGGCAAGUAACAUACCGUUUGACAAAGGGAAUUGCAUACGGAUUGAUUGAAUCCUCGACACCGUGGUUCAUCCGAUGAGAUCAUCGUGGAACAUGUGGGAGCCAACAUGGGUAUCCAGAUCCCGCUGUUGGUUAUUGACCGGAGAGGCGUCUCGGUCAUGUCUGCAUGUCUCCCGAACCCGUAGGGUCUACACACUUAAGGUUCGGUGACGCUAGGGUUAUAGAGAUAUAUGUAUGCGGAAACCCGAAAGUUGUUCGGAGUCCCGGAUGAGAUCCCGGACAUCACGAGAGGUACCGGAAUGGUCCGGAGGUGAAGAAUUAUAUAUAGGAAGUCCAGUUUCGGCCACCGGGAAAGUUUCGGGGGUUACUGGUAUUGUACCGGGACCACCGGAAGGGUCCCGGGGGUCCACCGGGUGGGGCCACCUAUCCCGGAGGGCCCCGUGGGAUGAAAGUGGAAGGUAACCAGCCCCUAGUGGGCUGGGCGCCCCCCCAUGGGCCUCCCCCCAUGCGCCUAGGGUUGGGAACCCUAGGGUGGGGGACUUCCCCCUUGCCUUGGGGGGCAAGCAACCCCUUGCCACCCCUUGGCCGCCGCCCNNNNNNNNNNNNNNNNNNNNNNNNNNNNNNNNNNNNNNNNNNNNNNNNNNNNNNNNNNNNNNNNNNNNNNNNNNNGGGCCUAUAUAAAGGGGGGAGGGAGGGCAGCAACAUACAGCCUUGGGCGCCUCCCUCCUCCCCGGCAACACCUCUCUCUCUCGCAGAAGCUUGGCGAAGCCCUGCCGGAGACCCGCUACAUCCACCACCACGCCGUCGUGCUGCUGGAUCUCCAUCAACCUCUCCUUCCCCCUUGAUGGAUCAAGAAGGAGGAGACGUCGCUGCACCGUACGUGUGUUGAACGCGGAGGUGCCGUCCGUUCGGCACUCGGUCAUCGGUGAUUUGGAUCACGGCGAGUACGACUCCGUCAUCCACGUUCAUUGGAACGCUUCCGCUCGCAAUCUACAAGGGUAUGUAGAUGCACUCCUUUCCCCUCGUUGCUAGUAGACUCCAUAGAUGCAUCUUGGUGAGCGUAGGAAAAUUUUAAAUUAUGCUACGAUUCCCAACAGUGGCAUCAUGAGCCAGGCCUAUGUGUAGUUACUAUGCACGAGUAGAACACAAAGCAGUUGUGGGCGUUGAGUUUGCCAAUUCUUCUUGCCGCUACUAGUCUUUUCUUGUUUCGGCGGCAUUGUAGGAUGAAGCGGCCCGGACCGACCUUACAUGUACACUUACGUGAGACAGGUUCCACCGACUGACAUGCACUAGAUGCAUAAGGUGGCUAGCGGGUGUCUGUCUCUCCUACUUUAGUCGGAACGGAUUCGAUGAAAAGGGUCCUUAUGAAGGGUAAAUAGAAAUUGGCAAAUCACGUUGUGGUCAUACGUAGGUAAGAAACGUUCUUGCUAGAAACCUACAAACCACGUAAAAACUUGCAACAACAAUUAGAGGACGUCUAACUUGUUUUUGCAGCAAGUGCUAUGUGAUGUGAUAUGGCCAGAAGAUGUGAUGAAUGAUAUAUGUGAUGUAUGAGAUUGAUCAUAUUCUUGUAAUAGGAAUCACGACUUGCAUGUCGAUGAGUAUGACAACCGGCAAGAGCCAUAGGAGUUGUCUUUAUUAUUUUGCAUGACCUGCGUGUCAUUGAAUAACGCCAUGUAAAUUACUUUACUUUGUUGCUAAACGCGUUAGCCAUAGAAGUAGAAGUAAUCAUUGGCGUGACGACUUCAUGAAGACACAAUGAUGGAGAUCAUGAUGAUGGAGAUCAUGGUGUCAUGCCGGUGACAAAGAUGAUCAUGGUGCCCCGAAGAUGGAGAUCAAAGGAGCAUAAUGAUAUUGGCCAUAUCAUGUCACUAUUUGAUUGCAUGUGAUGUUUAUCAUGUUUUUGCAUCUUAUUUGCUUAGAACGACGGUAGUAAGUAAGAUGAUCCCUUAUAAUAAUUUCAAGAAAGUGUUCACCCUAACUGUGCACCGUUGCAAAGGUUCGUUGUUUCGAAGCACCACGUGAUGAUCGGGUGUGAUAGAUUCUAACGUUCGAAUACAACGGGUGUUGACGAGCCUAGCAUGUACAGACAUGGCCUCGGAACACACGCAAUACACUUAGGUUGACUUGACGAGCCUAGCAUGUACAGACAUGGCCUCGGAACACGGAGGACCGAAAGGUCGAGCAUGAGUCGUAUAGAAGAUACGAUCAACAUGGAGAUGUUCACCGAUCUUGACUAGUCCGUCUCACGUGAUGAUCGGACACGGCCUAGUUAAACUCGGAUCAUGUUUCACUUAGAUGACUAGAGGGAUGUCUAUCUGAGUGGGAGUUCAUAAUCAGAUGAACUUCAUUAUCAUGAACAUAGUAAAAAAGGUAUUUGCAAAUUAUGUCAUAGCUUGCGCUUUAGUUCUACUGGUUAAGAUAUGUUCCUAGAGAAAAUUUAGUUGAAAGUUGGUAGUAGCAAUUAUGCGGACUGGGUCCGUAAACUGAGCAUUGUCCUCAUUGCUGCAGAAGGCUUAUGUCCUUAAUGCACCGCUCGGUGUGCUGAACCUCAGCGUCGUCUGUAGAUGUUACGAAACAUCUGACAUACACAUUUUGAUGACUACAUGAUAGUUCAAUGCGGUUUAGAAUUGAGGCACCAAAGACGUUUUUGAAAUGUCGCAGAACAUGUGAGAUGUUCCGAAGACUGAAAUUGGGAUUUCAGACCAGUGCCCACGUCAAGAGGUAUGAGACCUCUGACAAGUUUCUUAAGCCUGCAAACUAAGGGAGGAAAGCUCAAUCGUUGAGCGUGUGCUCAGAUUGUCUGAGUGCCACAAUCGCUUGAAUCGAGUGGGAGUUAAUCUCCCAGAUGAGAUAGUGAUAGUUCUCCAUAGUCACUGCCACCAAGCUAGUAGAGCUUCGUGAUGAACUAUAACAUAUCAAGGAUAGUUAUGAUGAUCCUUGAGCUAUUCGCGAUGUUUGACACCGCGAGAGUAGAAAUCAAGAAGGAGCAUCAAUUGUUGAUGGUUAGUAAAACCACUAGUUUAAGAAGGGCAAGGGCAAAAGGGAUACUUCAUGAAACAGCAAGUCAUUUGCUGCUCUAGUGAAGAAUCCCAAGGUUGAACCCAAACCCGAGACUAAGUGCUUCUGUAAUGAGAGGAACGGUCACUGAAGCAGUACUACCCUAGAUACUUGGUAGAUGAGAAGGCAGGCAAGGUCGACAGAAGUAUAUUGGAUAUACGUUACAUGAAUGUGUACUUUACUAGUACUCCUAGCAGCACCAGGGUAUUAGAUACCGGUUCGGUUGCUAAGUGUUAGUAACUCAAAAUAAAAGCUGCGGAAUAAAUGGAGACUAGCUAAAGGUGAGAUGACGAUAUGUGUUGGAAGUGUUUCCAAGGUUGAUGUGAUCAAGCAUCGCAUGCUCCCUCUACCAUCGAGAUUUGGUGUUUGCGUUGAACAUGAUUGGAUUAUGUUUACCGCAAAACGGUUAUUCAUUUAAGGAGAAUAAUGGUUACUCUGUUUAUUUGAAUAAUACCUUCAAUGGUCUUGCACCUAAAAUGAAUCUCGAUCGUAGUGAUACACAUGUUCAUGCCAAAAGAUAUAAGAUAGUAAUGAUAGUACCACAUACUUGUGGCACUGCCACUUGAGUCAUAUUGGUGUAGAACGCAUGAAGAAGCUCCAUGUAGGUGGAUCUUUGGACUCACUCGUUUUUGAAAAGAUUGAGACAUGCGAACCAUGUCUAUUGGUAUAUAUGCAUGAAGAAACUCCAUACAGAUGGAUCGUUUGGACUCACUUGAUUAUGAAUCACUUCAGACAUGCAAAUCAUACCACAUGGGCAAAAUGACUGAAAGUCCUCGUUUUCAGUGAGAUGGAACAAGAGAGCAACUUAUUGGAAGUAAUACAUUUUGAUGUACGCAGUCCAAUGAGUGCUGAGGCAUGCAGUGGAUAUCAUUAUGUUCUUACUUCACAGAUGAUUUGAGUAGAUGCUGAGUGUAUUUACUUGAUGAAACACUAGUCUGAAUUAUUGAAAGGUUCAAGUAAUUUCAGAGUGAAGUUGAAGAUCGUCGUGACAAGAGGAUAAAAUGUCUGUGAUAUGAUCAUAGAGAUGACUAUCUGAGAUACGAGUUUGGCACACAAUUGAGACAUUGUGGAAAGUGUUUCACAAUUAAUACCGCCUGGAACACCAUAGUGUGAUGGUGUGUCCGAACAUCAUAACUGCACCCUAUUGGAUAUAGUGCAUACCAUGAUGUUUCUUAUCAAAUUACCACUAUCGUUUAUGGGUUAGGCAUUAGAGACAACCGCAUUCACUUUAAAAGGGGCACCACGCAAUUCCGUUGAGACGACACCGUUUAUAGAAACCUAAGUUGUCGUUUCUUAAAAGUUUGGGGCUGCGAUGCUUAUGUGAAAAAGUUUCAGGCUGAUAAGCUCGAACCCAAAGUGGAUAAAUGCAUCUUCAUAGAAUACCCAAAAAUAGUUGGGUAUACCUCCUAUUUCAGAUCUGGAAGCAAAAGUAAUUGCUUCUAGAAACGAGUCAUUUCUCGAGGAAAAGUUUCUCUCGAAAGAAUUGAGUGGGAGGAUGGUGGAGACUUGAUAAGGUUAUUGAACCGUCGCUUCAACUAGUGUGUAGCAGGGCACAGGAAGUUGUUCCUGUGGCACCUACACCAAUUGAAGUGGAAGCUUAUGAUGGUGAUCAUGAAACUUCGGAUCAAGUCACUACCAAACCUCGUAGGACGACGAGGAUGCGCACUACUUCAGAGUAAUGCGUGAUCCUGCCUUGGAAGUCAUGUUGCUAGACAACUAUGAACCUACGAGCUAUGGAGAAGCGAUGGUGGGCCCAUAUUCCGACGAAUGGCUCGAGGCCAUGAAAUCCGAGAUAGAAUCCAUGUAUCAGAACAAACAUUGGACUUUGGUGAACUUGCCCGUUGAUCGGCAAGCCAUUGAGAUAAAUGGAUCUUAAGAAGAAGACGAACAUGGACGGUAAUGUUACCGUCUAUGAAGCUCGACUUGUGGCAAAGAGUAUUUUCACAAGUUCAAGGAGUUGACUACGAUGAGUUUUUCUCAUCCGUAGCGAUGCUUAGGUCCGUCGGAAUCAUGUUAGCAUUAGCUACAUUUAUGAAAUCUGGCAGAUGGAUGUCAAAACAAGUUUCCUUACCAGUUUUCGUAAGGAAAGGUUGUAUGUGAUACAAUCAGAAAGGUUUUGUCGAUCCUAAGGAUGCUAAAAGGUAUGCUAGCUCCAGCGAUCCUUCCAUGGAUUAGAGCAAGCAUCUCGGAGUCAGAAUAUACGCUUUGAUGGAGUGAUCAAAGUUUUUGGGUUUAUACAAAGUUUGUUAGAAUCUUGUAUUUACAAUAAAGUGAGUGGGAGCGCUACAACAUUUCUGAUAAGUAUAUGUGAAUGACAUAUUGUUGAUCCGAAAUGAUGUAAAAUUUCUGGAAAGCAUAAAGGGUUGUUUGAAAGGAGUUUUUCAAAGGAAGACCUGGAUAAAGCUACUUACAUAUUGGGCAUCAAGAUCCAUAGAGAUAGAUCAAGACGCCUGAUGAUACUUUCAAAAGACAGCACACCUUGACAUGAUUUUGAAAGAGUUCAAAAUAGAUCAGCAAAGAAGGAGUUCUUGGCGGUGUUACAAGGUGUGAGUAUUGAGUGAGACUCAAGACCUGACCACAGCAGAAGAUAGAGAAAGGACGAAGGUCGUCCCCUAUGCUUUAGACGUAGGCUCUAUAGUAUGCUAUGCUGUGUACCGCACAUGUAGUGUGCCUUGCCAUGAGUUGGUCAAGAGGGUACAAUGGUGAUCCGGGAAAGGAUCUCAUGACAGCGGUUGAACUUAUCCUUAGUACCUAGUGGAUUCAGGAAUUUUCUCGAUUAUGGAGGUGGAAAGGAGUUCGUCAUAAAGGGUUACGUCGAUGCGAACUUUGACACUAAUCCGGAUGACUCUGAGUAGUAAACCGGAUUCGUAUAGUAGAGCAAUUAUUUGAAAUGGCUCCAAAUAGCGCGUGGUAGCAUCCACAAAGAUGACAUAGAUAUUCGUAAAGCACACGGUUCUGAAAGGUUCAAACCCGUUGACUAAUAACCUCUCUCACAAGCAUAACAUGACCAAACCAGAACACAUUGAGUGAUAAUCACAUAGUGAUUUGGACUAGAUUGUUGACUCUAGUAAACUCUUUAGAUGUUGGUCACAUGGUGAUGUGACCAGUGAGUGUUAAUCACAUGGUGAUGUGAACUAGAUUAUUGACUCUAGUGCAAGUGGGAGACUGUUGGAAAUAUGCCCUAGAGGCAAUAAUAAAUUGGUUAUUAUUAUAUUUCCUUAUUCAUGAUAAUCGUUUAUUAUCCAUGCUAGAAUUGUAUUGAUAGGAAACUCAGAUACAUGUGUGGAUACAUAGACAACACCAUGUCCCUAGUAAGCCUCUAGUUGACUAGCUCGUUGAUCAAUAGAUGGUUAUGGUUUCCUGACCAUGGACAUUGGAUGUCGUUGAUAACGGGAUCACAUCAUUAGGAGAAUGAUGUGAUGGACAAGACCCAAUCCUAAGCAUAGCAUAAAAGAUCGUGUAGUUUCGUUUGCUAGAGCUUUUCCAAUGUCAAGUAUCUUUUCCUUAGACCAUGAGAUCGUGCAACUCCCGGAUACCGUAGGAGUGCUUUGGGUGUGCCAAACGUCACAACGUAACUGGGUGACUAUAAAGGUGCACUACGGGUCUCCGAAAGUGUCUGUUGGGUUGGCACGGAUCGAGACUGGGAUUUGUCACUCUGUGUGACGGAGAGGUAUCUCUGGGCCCACUCGGUAAUGCAUCAUCAUAAUGAGCUCAAUGUGACUAAGGCGUUAGUCACGGGAUCAUGCAUUGCGGUACGAGUAAAGAGACUUGCCGGUAACGAGAUUGAACAAGGUAUUGGGAUACCGACGAUCGAAUCUCGGGCAAGUAACAUACCGUUUGACAAAGGGAAUUGCAUACGGAUUGAUUGAAUCCUCGACACCGUGGUUCAUCCGAUGAGAUCAUCGUGGAACAUGUGGGAGCCAACAUGGGUAUCCAGAUCCCGCUGUUGGUUAUUGACCGGAGAGGCGUCUCGGUCAUGUCUGCAUGUCUCCCGAACCCGUAGGGUCUACACACUUAAGGUUCGGUGACGCUAGGGUUAUAGAGAUAUAUGUAUGCGGAAACCCGAAAGUUGUUCGGAGUCCCGGAUGAGAUCCCGGACGUCACGAGAGGUACCGGAAUGGUCCGGAGGUGAAGAAUUAUAUAUAGGAAGUCCAGUUUCGGCCACCGGGAAAGUUUCGGGGGUUACCGGUAUUGUACCGGGACCACCGGAAGGGUCCCGGGGGUCCACCGGGUGGGGCCACCUAUCCCGGAGGGCCCCGUGGGCUGAAAGUGGAAGGGAACCAGCCCCUAGUGGGCUGGGCGCCCCCCCAUGGGCCUCCCCCCAUGCGCCUAGGUUUGGGAACCCUAGGGUGGGGGGACUUCCCCCUUGCCUUGGGGGGCAAGCAACCCCUUGCCACCCCUUGGCCGCCGCCCCCCAACCCUAGAUGGGUUUGGGCCGGCCCCCCCUCCCAAGGGGUCCUAUAUAAAGGGGGAGGGAGGGCAGCAACAUACAGCCUUGGGCGCCUCCCUCCUCCCCGGCAACACCUCUCUCUCUCUCGCAGAAGCUUGGCGAAGCCCUGCCGGAGACCCGCUACAUCCACCACCACGCCGUCGUGCUGCUGGAUCUCCAUCAACCUCUCCUUCCCCCUUGCUGGAUCAAGAAGGAGGAGACGUCGCUGCACCGUACGUGUGUUGAAUGCGGAGGUGCCGUCCGUUCGGCACUCGGUCAUCGGUGAUUUGGAUCACGGCGAGUACGACUCCGUCAUCCACGUUCAUUGGAACGCUUCCGCUCGCGAUCUACAAGGGUAUGUAGAUGCACUCCUUUCCCCUCGUUGCUAGUAGACUCCAUAGAUGCAUCUUGGUGAGCGUAGGAAAAUUUUAAAUUAUGCUACGAUUCCCAACAACCCCACCCCUGGCCUGCAUGUCUUGCAUGAAAACUUCUCGGAAUCAGAAAUAAAAACAGCAUUCUUUAAAAUGAACCCGCAGGCCAGUCCUGGCCCAGAUGGUUUUGGGCCUGCGUUCUACCGAACAUACUGGCCCACCAUUAAAAGCUUCAUCCUCCCUUUCUUCUCACAAUUCUGUCAAGGCACGGCCGACACGGAAAGAUUAAACAGAGCUCACAUUGUUCUCCUCCCCAAAAAAGAUCAGCCUACUUCUCCAAACGCUUUCCGGCCCAUCUCGCUCCAAAAUUGCCCAAUCAAAGCUGUUGCCAAAGUCUUGACCACUCGCCUCAAGCCCUUCAUCCAGUUACUAGUGCAUGGCAAUCAGGCAGGGUUUAUACCAGGGAGGGAUAUAGCUGAGAAUUACAUAUUCGCCGCCGACCUCAUUAGCUCAUGCCACACUAGGAAAAAAACCUACUAUGGUUUUCAAACUAGACUUCAGGAAAGCUUUCGACUCGGUCGCUUGGCCUGCUCUGGACAAAAUCCUCCUCGCCCGGGGCUUCUCACACACCUUCCACAGCUGGAUCCAGAAUAUCCUAGUGACAGGCAAAACCGCCAUUCUUUUGAAUGGCAUCCCAGGCAACUGGAUAGACUGCAAAAAUGGCCUACGGCAGGGCGACCCCAUCUCCCCCUAUCUCUUCCUGAUCGUAGCAGACCUGCUCCAACAGCUUAUCUUCAAAAACACACACGCCUCGCUCCACCACCCCAUCUUCUCUCAUCUUCCACGCACCGUCCUCCAGUACGCAGACGAUACUCUGAUCGUUGUCGCCGCCUCGACUGAUGCCGCUGCCGCUCUAAAAGAAAUUCUAGCCAACUUCGCCAACGCCACUGGGUUAGCCAUAAACUUCUCCAAAACUACGAUCACAACCCUACACAUAGACGAUGUUGCUGCUAACGACACCGCCCUUGCCAUGGGCUGCUCUCGCACCUCCUUCCCCCAAACCUAUCUUGGCCUCCCUCUCUCCCCUACUAAACCUCCUUCCACUGUAUUCGACCCCAUCCUAGAACGCUCUCACAAGCUGUUGGCUGGCUGGCGAGCCAAGCUGCUUGACAAAGGCGACCGCCUCAUUCUUAUCUCCGCAGUCCUCAACUCCCUCCUCACCUACUUCAUGUCAGUCUUUCGUCUCCCCAAAAAAGUUUUAAAAACCAUCGACUCCAUUCGUAGAGCCUUCUUCUGGGAAGGUGAAGAUUCAGUUUCAUGUGCUCAAUGCCUUAUUGCAUGGAAAAACGUUUGCACUCCAAAAAAAUAUGGUGGUUUAGGUCUCAAAAACUUGCAUCUUCAGAAUAAUUGUCUGCUCAUGAAAUUUGCAGCCAAGGCACUCACCUCCUCCUCCACCCCCUGGAUGGACUGGUUGGAUCUUCAACACCCAAAUGCUUUAGUUUCACCCCCACCCCAAACCUCCUUCCUCUGUCGUGCCAUAGCACAGCAAAUACCAACACUCCAGUCCAUCACCUUCGUCCUAACAAACAGUGGGACACACACCUACUUUUGGCACGACACUUGGCUCACAUCAACAACUCCAGCUCACACUUACCCUCACCUAUUCUCACAUUCCACUCUUCCGCUGAUUAAGGUGGCUAAUGUGCUGCGCUAUGGUCUAGAAGCUAACCUCCGUAACCGUCUCUCCCUACUGGCAGAGCAAGAGCUUGUUGCGUUGUUGGCUGUUUUGCAGGAUUUCGUCCCUUCGGCUGAGGAAGACCAAAGGUUCCUAAUUCAGGGUCUUGCCUUCUCCACCAAGCAAGCGUACGACACUCUCAUGGCACGCCCGGACUGCGAUCCUCUCGCCCCCAUCAUUUGGCACUCCAAGGUUACACGCAAGAUUAAAAUCUUCACCUGGCUUCUCUUCAAGGAUCGGCUCAACACCGGAGCCAAUCUUGCACACAAGCAUAUCAUAUCCACGGACGUUUGUCCUCGCUGCACUAUGCUACCAGAGGACUCCUUGCAUCUCUUCCUCACCUACCCCCUUGCCAACCGUGUCUGGCAACGGCUAGGCAUCCUACCUCAAGCGGAGGGCAUCAUCGACCUUUGGGACGCGUCGAUUCCUCACAAACUGCCACACAAGGCCUGGCCUUUUAUUCUCAUGUCUCUCCUCUGGAAGAUAUGGGUUGCAAGAAAUGAUAUGGUGUUUAGGAACAUUGAUCAACGUUCUGUAAUAACUGUGACGCCCCCGAUUCAAUCGUGCACAAAUCAUACACGCAAACGUGUACGAUCAAGAUCAGGGACUCACGGGAAGAUAUCACAACACAACUCUAAAAAUAAAAUAAGUCAUACAAGCAUCAUAAUACAAGCCAGGGGCCUCGAGGGCUCGAAUACAAGUGCUCGAUCAUAGACGAGUCAGCGGAAGCAACAAUAUCUGAGUACAGACAUAAGUUAAACAAGUUUGCCUUAAGAAGGCUAGCACAAACUGGGAUAUAGAUCGAAAGAGGCGUAGGCCUCCUGCCUGGGAUCCUCCUAAACUACUCCUGGUCGUCGUCAGCGGCCUGCACGUAGUAGUAGGCACCUCUAGUGUAGUACGAGUCAUCGUCGACGGUGGCGUCUGGCUCCUGGGCUCCAGCAUCUGGUUGCGACAACCAGGAAGAAACAAUAGGGGGAAAGGGGGGAGCAAAGCAACCGUGAGUACUCAUCCAAAGUACUCGCAAGCAAGGAUAUACACUACAUAUGCAUGGGUAUAUGUGUAAAGGGGCCAUAUCGAUGGACUGAACUGCAGAAUGCCAGAAUAAGAGGGGGAUAGCUAAUCCUGUCGAAGACUACGCUUCUGGCAGCCUCCAUCUUGCAGCAUGUAGAAGAGAGUAGGUGGUAAGUUCACCAAGUAUCAUCGCAUAGCAUAAUCCUACCCGACAAUCCUCUCCUCGUCGACCUGUGAGAGAGCGAUCACUGGGUUGUAUCUGGCACUUGGAAGGGUGUGUUUUAUUAAGUAUCCGGUUCUAGUUGUCAUAAGGUCAAGGUACAACUCCGGGUCGUCCUUUUAUCGAGGGACACGGCUAUUCGAAUAGAUAAACUUCCCUGCAGGGGUGCACCACAUUACCCAACACGCUCGAUCCCCUUUGGCCGGACACACUUUCCUGGGUCAUGCCCGGCCUCGGAAGAUCAACACAUCGCAGCCCCACCUAGGCACAACAGAGAGGUCAGCACGCCGGUCUAAAUCCUAUGCACGCAGGGGUCUGGGCCCAUCGCCCAUUGCACACCUGCAUGUUGCGAACGCGGCCGGAAGCAAACCUAGCCCCCUUAAUACAAGCGCAGGCUUACGGUCUAAUCCGGCGCGCGCCGCUCAGUCGCUGACGUCAAGAAGGCUUCGGCUGAUACCAUGACGUCGAGUGCCCAUAAUUGUUCCUACGUAGUUGGUUAGUGCGUAUAGGCCAGUGGCCAGACUCGGAUCAAAUACCAAGAUAUCAUUAAGCGUGUUAUUUUGAAGUAACCGCGAACGCCGACAGGGCCAGGCCCACCUCUCACCUAGGUAGUCUCAACCUGCCCUGUCGCUCCGCCACAAAGAUCCACCCAGAGGGCCGUCGGGACAAAGGUCCUUUCAGCCCCCAAUCCGUGAAUCACUCGCGGGUACUCUACGAGCCGACCCGACUUUAGUCACCACAUGUAUCAUGUAUAAAGUAUAUAGUAUAUACCCGUGAUCACCUCCCGAGUGAUCACGGCCCGAUAGUAUAGCACAGCAGACGGACAAGAAUGUAGGGCCAAUGAUGGAAUACUAGCAUCCUAUACUAAGCAUUUAGGAUUGCAGGUAAAGGUAACAACAGUAGUAGCAAGGGCAGGCUAUGCAUCAGGAUAGGAUAAACGGAAAGCAGUAACAUGCUACACUACUCUAAUGCAAGCAGUAGAGAGAAGAAUAGGCGAUGUCUGGUGAUCAGGGGGGCUUGCCUGCAAGCCCAGCCGAGAAGGAGGGGUCAUUAACACCGUAGUCGUACUGGGUAGCAGCGGCGUCGGGGCGGCCUUGGUCGAUCCGACCACGGAGCUAGACGGUGGGGAUGAGGAGGCAACGGCGACGUGGCUUCAUUAGCAGAGUUUCACUGUAGCUUAAUUAUCCGGGCGUUACAAAUCUCCUCCACUACAAGAAAUCCCGUCCCGAGAUUUAGGAGGUAGAAGGAAACAGCGCGGGGUCCUCGUGUUCCCAAGUGGCUUCAUCUUCAGAAUGGUGCGACCACUGGACCUUGAGGAACUUGAUCGCCUUCUGACGUGUUCGGCGUUCAGCUUGGUCGAGAAUGCGGACUGGAUGCUCUUUAUAGGAGAGGACCUAUUGCAAUUCGAGCACUUCACGAUCCACUGCUCGGAUUGGGUCCUUGAAGCAAUGGCGGAGCUGUGACACGUGGAACACAUCGUGAACCUGAGAAAGGUUCGACGGAAGCUCCAGUUGAUAUGCCACUUUUCCACGCCUUUCCAGAAUAGUGAAUGGACCAAUAUAGCGAGGAGCUAGCUUGCCCUUGAUUCCAAAGCGGUGAGCACCCUUCAUUGGUGUGACUCUAAGAUAAGCCUUUUCGCCAGGUUGAUAGACCAUGUCUUUAUGAUGACGGUCAUACUGACUCUUCUGACGCGACUGAGCAGUCUUGAGAUUCUCGCGAAUAAUGCAGACUUGUUCUUCAGCAUGUUGGAUAAUAUCCGGACCGAAGAGUGGACGUUCCCCAGUUUCUGACCAGUUCAGAGGGGUUCGGCACUUUCGUCCAUAUAAUACUUUGAAGGGGGCCAUCUUCAGACUAGCUUGAUAGCUAUUGUUAUAGGAGAACUCAGCAUACAGGAGAGAUUCCUCCCAUUUCUUGCCGAAGGAAAUAACACAAGCUCGAAGCAUGUCUUCGAGAACUUGGUUGACGCGUUCAACUUGCCCUUGCAACUGAGGAUGAAACGCAGUACUGAACGACAGAUGAGUUCCCAUAGCUUCUUGGAAACUUGCCCAGAAUCUUGAAGUGAACAAGCUACCACGGUCCAAACUGAUAACUAGUGGAAUACCGUGAAGUGAAACAAUUCUGGACAUGUAGAGAGUUGCAAGCUGACUAGCAGUGAUCGUUUCUUUGACAGCCAGAAAAUGGGCAACUUUAGAAAGCCGGUCAAUGAUGACAAGAAUAACAUCAUUACCUUUCUGCGAUUUGGGAAAUCCAGUGACGAAGUCCAUCUCGACAUGGUCCCAUUUCCAUUCAGGAAUAGAGAUAGGUUGCAGAGUUCCAGCAGGCCUUUGAUGUUCUGCUUUGAUACGACGGCAAACCUCACACUCGGCAACAUAACGAGCAAUGUCUUGCUUCAUAUUAGACCACCAGCAUCUAUGAGGAAUGUCUUGGUACAUCUUGGUGCUACCGGGAUGAAUAGACAAAGGCGUAUCAUGAGCUUCUUUCAUAACCUCCUGUGUCAUAUCUAGGUUUUCCUCUAAACAUGGCACCACUAGGCGGACCUUUAAGUACAAGGUGCCAUCAUCAGCAAUAGUGAAGAAUGAGGGCUUUCCUUCUGCGAGGUAGCGCUUAAUCUUGUGGGCUUGAGAGUCAUACUUCUGCAGCGUUUUGAUGCUGUCCACGAGAUCUGGUUUAGCAACCAGGGUAUUGAGAGAACCCUAGGUAACAACAUGGAGGUUCAUCUUACGACACUCAGGAGGAGGGGGAGCGAGUGCACUAGGAGGAACAAUAUGGAGGUUCAGCUUUCUGAAUUCUUCAACAAGCGAGGGAUGAACUUUGUGAACCUGGAGGUGGUUGCAGUAAGACUUGCGGCUCAAGGCAUCAGCCAUUACAUUAGCCUUGCCUGGUGUAUAGGAAAUACCCAAGUCAAAGUCUGCAACAAUAUCCAUCCAUCUCUGCUGACGGAGGUUCAGGUCUGGCUGAGUAAACAAAUACUUCAGACUUUGGUGGUCGGUGAAGAUCUCGCAACGAUUACUGAGAAGGUAAUGUCGCCACUGUUUUAGCGCAUGAAUGACAGCAGCAAGCUCGAGGUUGUGAACUGGGUAGUUCUCUUCGUGAGGGCGCAAUUGCCGAGAGGCAUAAGCAAUCACUUUGUGCUCUUGCAUUAGGACACAGCCUAAUCCUUGACGAGAAGCGUCGCAGUAAAUGACGAAGUCCUUCUUAGUAUCAGGUGGAGCAAGCACUGGGGCAGAACUCAACUUGUCUUUGAGUGCCUGGAAACUUUCCUGACAAUUGUCUGUCCAUUGGAACUUGACACCCUUAUGCAAUAGGUUAGUCAGAGGCCUAGCGAUCUUGGAGAAGUUCUUGACGAAUCGACGGCAAUAGCUGGCGAGUCCGAGAAAACUUCUGACUUGCUUGACAUUCUUCGGAGGAGUCCAAUCGAGAAUAGCCUGAAAUUGCUCGGGGUUGACGGCAAUACCAUCCUUGGAGAUGACAUGCCCAAGAUAGGUUACUUCGGGAAGCCAGAAUUCACACUUGGAGAACUUGGCAUAUAGCCGAUGCUCUCGUAGAUUUUCCAGCACAAGACGAAGAUGUUCAGCAUGUUCCUCUUUGUUCUUGGAAAAUACCAGGAUAUCAUCCAGAUAAACCACGACGAACUUGUCAAGGUAUUCCAUGAAUAUAUAGUUCAUCAGACGAGAGAAGGUGGCUAGAGCAUUGGUCAAGCCGAAUGACAUGACGGUGUACUCGUAUGAACCAUAUCGAGUCACGAAGGCGGUCUUUGGGAUAUCCUCUUCACGAACACGGAUCUGGUGGUAACCCAACCUCAAGUCGAGUUUAGAGAACACUGAUGGACCAGCCAGUUGAUCAUACAGAUCAUUGAUCCGAGGAAGAGGAUAUUUAUUCUGAAUGGUAGCUUGGUUUAUAGGACGGUAGUCUUGGACUAAUCGGUUUGUCCCAUCCUUCUUCUUGACAAAGAGAGAAGGUGCUCCCCAAGGAGAGCAACUUGGGCGAAUGAAACCUUUGCGAAGAGAUUUUUCGAUUUCCUCCUUAAGCUCAAUGAGUUCAUGCGGCGGCAUCUUGUAGGGUCGUUUGGCUAUAGGAGUGGUGCCUGGUUUCAAGUCAAUGAUGAAUUCGACAGCUCUAGCAGGGGGAAUCCCUGGAAGUUCUUCAGGAAAGACGUCCUGGUAUUCGCGAACGACAGGAAUGUUUUCAAUGCCCUCGAGUGGUGCAGCGUUCAAUGCAUUCAACGCAUAAAGCCUUGCCUCGUCAUUCUGAACCAAACGAGCAUUGUAGCUUAUUAUUUCAUCGGAAGGGUGUAGCAGAUAGACGGUCAUAGUGGCGCAAACUAUAGAAGCAGUAUGCGCUUUCAACCAAUCCAUUCCCAGAAUGAGAUCAAUGCUACAGUACUUCAGUAUGAUGGGAGAGACAAGGAAUUCCAGUCCUUCGAUUUCAAUGAGAACGUCGUGACUAACCAUAGAGGUUUGACAUUGGCCCGCAGGGGUGUGUACCACUAGCGGAGUGUUCAUCUCUUCGUAUUUAAUGCCAUGCAUGAAUGCAAAUUCUGCUGAUAUGAAUGAAUGUGAUGCUCCUAUAUCAAAUAAAACAGAUGCAGGUACUAAAUUAACGAGGAGUGUACCCAUCACAGUAGCAGGCUGGUCUUGAGCUUCGUUGAGAUCAACGUGGUUGGCAUGAACACGACCAUAAGACUUGGCAUUGUUGUUGCGGGGCUAGUUGUUUCCACGGCCAGCUGCGGGAAGGGCCAGUUGAUUCUGAUUCUGAUAGCAGCUCCUGGCAAGGUGACCUGGUUGACCACACUUGUAGCACAAACCAUUAUUGGGAGUGGGAACAGGAUCUUGGGGUGGUGGAGCUGGAAGUCUUGGCUGCCUAGAUGGUGGGGGAGGCAGACGCGGUGCAGCAUAAGACUGCUUUGGAGCAGGUGCAUUUGGACGGUACAUGUUGUUCGGGAUCCACAUCUUACGCUUCUGCGAGGGCGGGCCCGAAGAUGAGCCCGUGUCACGGUUGCGCCUGUGAGAGCUCUGGUGUUCCUGCAGACCAGUCUCGACAUUGAUGGCCUUGUUCACCAAGGUGGCGAAAUCGGCAAAGUCAUGCACUAGUAGUGCGAGCUUGAUGUCAGCUUGUAGUCCAUCAUGGAACUUCUCCUGUUUGCGAGCAUCAGUUGCAAUGUCCUCUUCAGCAUAGCAGGACAAGUCUAGAAAUUCCCGCUGAUAAGCUUCGACAGUUUUGUUGCCCUGGGUGAGGUUGCGGAACUCACGCUUCUUCCGGUCCAUGACUCCCUGAGGAAUGAACCGGGCACGGAAAGCGGCUUGGAAAUCUGGCUAGGUGAUGAUUGUUCCAACCGGUAGAGUACGCAUGUGGCUAUCCCACCAUUGGGCAGCGGGUCCCUUUAGAAAGAAGGAAGCAAAGGUGACAUAGCGGGCAGGGGCUACAUCAGCAGACUCCAUCUCAUAGGUGAUGUCACGGAGCCAGUCAUCAGCAUCCAGAGGCUGAGUUGAGCUACGGUAGACGGUUGGGUUGAGGUGCAUGAAAUCCUGCAGAGUCACUUGGGCUGGCUGCUGGUUCAUAUUGGGGCGAGGGAACUGAGCCAUCAUAUUCUCCAUGAACUGGCGAUUCAUCUCAAGUUGUUGGAUCAUACCAGCCAUGUACUUAGGCGGUGGUGGGGCGUUGCCACCAUGACCACAACCACCUAGUCUAACCAUCCCGCUAAUAUAUAACAGGGGUAGUUCAGCAUUGGGAAAUUUGCAAAGACAAGAAUCAUUCAUGAUGAAACAUGCAUAAUAAAGGAGCACGGUAGAUACUACAUAGUAGUCGGCAUAUCUUAAAAAAGGGAUCAUGCAUAGAGUUCGGUACACAGAGUUCAGUACAUAGACUAAAGACAUCAUAGGCGGCACGCAGGCUCGCAACGAAGGCACCUAAUACUAAUUAGCAAGUCCACAUCAGUACCAGGAGGAACUGUGGAGGUAGGUGUAGCCUGACAGCUGGUAGUGACGUGACGGGAAGUCCUCCACGUCAGUAGCCUGGGGUCCGCGGAUACUCUGGUGCAGAACCCGACGCUCAGGUGGCAGAAGAGGACCAAGUGCGGGAGAGUAGCCCCCCACAUCUGGCCAGCCGACACCUUGGGGCAUCACGGUCCUGGCUGGGUAGAUCGCAGAACGCGGCAGAUCAUCAAAUCGGACAAGGGGGUGCAACCGCAUCAGAGCACGGUAAAGGUGCUGACGGGUGGUGUACAACUCGUGGUGAAGAGCUCGGUUAGCUCGAUCCAGCCCAUCAGCAUGCAGAACCAAGUUCUGAUGGUAGAAGGGCUCUCGGGUGACCGUGGAGUAGGCAGCAGUGUAGUAUCCCUCCGCACCAACAUCGGAUGCGAUAGCAAUGUGCCUGAAAGGGGAAGUGUCCAACGCCCAAUACUCUCCACGAAGACGUGUCAGAGCAGCACAAGCAGCAUCGUGGACUGCCAUAUCGAUGGUCACUCCAACACCUUGAGCAGUGUGCAGCACAGUAGUGGAGUCAUACUCCCGAGAGUAGAGGUGGACGAUGGCACGGUACUGCUCCUGGUUAAAGUCCUGGUACUCCUCGUAGACGGUGUACUCAGGGUGCCAGCCAUAACCUAGAUAGGUCAUCAUCUCAGCUAGCACAGCAGGUGAUCCUGAGGCACCAAUGGCCGUCGUGUGGUGCACGACCUGCCUCAUGGGUUCCAUCUGAAAGCAAAGAUGUUUCAAAGGAGUCAAAUGACAGUGUGGGUAUUGUUCAAAAUACUAUUCUAAGGAAUAACUAUGGCUUAUCCAACUUUGGGGUGAAUGUGGUCACGAGAUCCUAAUGUUAGAGUUAGUAAAUUCGUUUAACCCGAGUAGAAGAGAGUUCAGAGUCCCGGAGUAAAGAUCGAGGAGUAAAAGAUCCUAGUACCACCCAAAUGGCGACGUGGGCCCGUAUGACACACAGCCAUGUUAGUAAAAGUUUUGUAAUUGCUAGACUCGACUUCGGCCAAGGAGUGUGGAAGGGGAUUCCUACAGGCAGUCGGCUCUGAUACCAACUUGUGACGCCCCCGAUUCAAUCUUACAGUAAUCAUACACGCAAACGUGUAUGAUCAAGAUCAUGGACUCACGGGUAGAUAUCACAACACAACUCUAAAAAUAAAAUAAGUCAUACAAGCAUCAUAAUACAAGCCAGGGGCCUCGAGGGCUCGAAUACAAGUGCUCGAUCAUAGACGAGUCAGCGAAAGCAACAAUAUCUGAGUACAGACAUAAGUUAAACAAGUUUGCCUUAAGAAGGCUAGCACAAACUGGGAUACAGAUCGAAAGAGGCGCAGGCCUCCUGCCUGGGAUCCUCCUAAACUACUCCUGGUCGUCGUCAGCGGCCUGCACGUAGUAGUAGGCACCUCCAGUGUAGUAGGAGUCAUCGUUGACGGUGGCAUCUGGCUCCUGGGCUCCAGCAUCUGGUUGCGACAACCAGGAAGAAAGAAAAGGGGGGAAAGGGGGAGCAAAGCAACCGUGAGUACUCAUCCAAAGUACUCGCAAGCAAGGAUCUACACUACAUAUGCAUGGGUAUAUGUGUAAAGGGGCCAUAUCGGUGGACUGGACUGCAGAAUGCCAGAAUAAGAGGGGGAUAGCUAAUCAUGUCGAAGACUACGCUUCUGGCAGCCUCCAUCUUGCAGCAUGUAGAAGAGAGUAGAUGGUAAGUUCACCAAGUAUCAUCGCAUAGCAUAAUCCUACCCGACAAUCCUCUCCUCGUCGACCUGUGAGAGAGCGAUCACCGGGUUGUAUCUGGCACUUGGAAGGGUGUGUUUUAUUAAGUAUCCCAUUCUCGUUGUCAUAAGGUCAAGGUACAACUCCGAGUCAUCCUUUUACCGAGGGACACGGCUAUUCGAAUAGAUAAACUUCCCUGCAGGGGUGCACCACAUUACCCAACACGCUCGAUCCCCUUUGGCCGGACACACUUUCCUGGGUCAUGCCCGGCCUCGGAGGAUCAACACGUCGCAGCCCCACCUAGGCACAACAGAGAGGUCAGCACGCCGGUCUAAAUCCUAUGCGCGCAGGGGUCUCGGCCCAUCGCCCAUUGCACACCUGCACGUUGCGAACGCGGCCGGAAGCAGACCUAGCCCCCUUAAUACAAGCGCAGGCUUACAGUCCAAUCCGGCGCGCGCCGCUCAGUCGCUGACGUCAAGAAGGCUUCGGCUGAUACCACGACGUCGAGUGCCCAUAACUGUUCCCGUGUAGUUGGUUAGUGCGUAUAGGCCAGUGGCCAGACUCAGAUCAAAUACCAAGAUCUCGUUAAGCGUGUUAUUUUGAAGUAACCGCGAACGCCGACAGGGCCAGGCCCACCUCUCACCUAGGUAGUCUCAACCUGCCCUGUCGCUCCGCCACAAAGAUCCACCCAGAGGGCCGUCGGGACAAAGGUCCUUUCAGCCCCCAAUCCGUGAAUCACUCGCGGGUACUCUACGAACCGACCCGACUUUAGUCACCACAUAUAUCAUGUAUAAAGUAUAUAGUAUAUACUCGUGAUCACCUCCCGAGUGAUCACGGCCCGAUAGUAUAGCACAGCAGACGGACAAGAAUGUAGGGCCGAUGAUGGAAUACUAGCAUCCUAUACUAAGCAUUUAGGAUUGCAGGUAAAAGUAACAAUAGUAGUAGCAAGGGCAGGCUAUGCAUCACGAUAGGAUAAAUGGAAAGCAGUAACAUGCUACACUACUCUAAUGCAAGUAGUAGAGAGAAGAAUAGGCGAUAUCUGGUGAUCAGGGGGGGCUUGCCUGGAAGCUCAGCCGAGAAGGAGGGGUCGUCAACACCUUAGUCGUACUGGGUAGCAGCGGCGUUGGGGCGGCCUUGGUCGAUCCGGCCACGGAGCUAGACGGCGGGGAUGAGGAGGCAAUGGCGACGUGGCUUCAUUAGCAGAGUUUCACUGUAGCUUAAUUAUCCGGGCGUUACAAUAACCCUAAGAGCCCUCAUCUCCGACCUAGACCUUUGGUCACAUCGUCUCAUGGAAACAUGCGGCAAGGAGGACGUCUCCUCGUGGCGUUCUGUAACACCCCGCAUGUAACUUGCCAUAUUUGUAACUCCGACUCUUGCCAUUUCCGGCUAUGUGUUAUGAUUUUCCCUCCGUUGUCGGGUUUUGUCUUUUGUUUUGUAUUUUGUCAUGUCAUGCAUUUUCAUAUCAUGUCAUCAUGUGCAUUGCAUUUGCAUACGUGUUCGUCUCAUGCAUCCGAGCAUUUUCCCCGUUGUCCGUUUUGCAAUCCGGCGCUCCUAUCUCCUCCGGUGCACCCCUUUCGUUUUCUUUCGUGUGCGGGUGUCAAACUUUCUCGGAAUGGACCGAGGCCUUUCAAGUGGCCUCAAUAUACCACCCGGAGACCACCGGUCAAGUUUCGUUCCAUUUGGAGGUCGUUUGGUACUCCAACGGUUAACCGGGUAUCUGCAAAGUCCAUUUGAGUGUCCAGCAAAAAACCCCUCAAAAACCAGCCCAAACCCACCAAACUCUCUUCCAUACUCUAGGUCGUUCGAUCACGAUCGUGUGGGCGAAAACCGCACCUCAUUUGGAGCCUCCUAGCUUCCUCUACCUAUAAAUAUGUGAGACUCCCGAAAUACAAUCGCAGUCCAAACCCUACCCUUCUUCCACCUCGCGCCCGGACAAAAAUCCUCCGCCGCCGGACGUGUCCGCGCCGCCACCUGUCCCUGCCGCCGUCGUUCCCACAGCGAGCCCAUAUCCGGCCCGCGGGGCCCGAAUCCCNNNNNNNNNNNNNNNNNNNNNNNNNNNNNNNNNNNNNNNNNNNNNNNNNNNNNNNNNNNNNNNNNNNNNNNNNNNNNNNNNNNNNNNNNNNNNNNNNNNNNNNNNNNNNNNNNNNNNNNNNNNNNNNNNNNNNNNNNNNNNNNNNNNNNNNNNNNNNNNNNNNNNNNNNNNNNNNNNNNNNNNNNNNNNGGUCGCCGGCGCCGCCCCCGCCGCCGCCGCCGUCGCACCUCUUCCCCGCGCCGGCGUCCUCUCCCUCCGGCCACCCGCCUCCUUUCUCUCUCCCGUCGCCGGCCCGAGCUCCUCGAGCUCCUGUGUUGCUCCCGAUCCAGAUCCGCACUGUAGAGGUUGACUCCCGUAUCCCUUUUUUUCUGUCUGGAAUUUUUACAGCAAUAUGCCUCUGUUCGUGAUGCCAUAACUCCUUGCAUGUAGCUCCGAUUCGUGCGUGUAAUCUGUAAAAUUGUUCGUCUCGUGAUGCUCUUCAUUUUGUUCAAUUGCACCAUGUUCAUUAGAGGUCAUCUUGAUGCCCAAAUCUCUGUUGGAAGAGGGCUAGUUGCUGUUAUUCUCUGGUUCUUAUCAGAACUUGGAGAUUUGUCAUUUUUGUAUCAUUAAAUCUGUGCAUCUUUUGGGCAUGAUCUCUACAUGUGUUUUGAAGCAUGCCAUGCCAUCUUUCCAGUGGUGUAGUCCAUGUAUUUUUUUGAUCUCUGUGGUGACUAGCACAAGCAUGCAAAGUAGGCCCCGUAAUAUUUCCGAUUUCAGGGACUUGGUGAUUUCUCCAAGUCCUUGUCUGCUGUUAUUUUGUUGCCAUGAAAACUUGAUGCUACAGACAGAUCCAUGCAUAUUUUGGAGAUGUUCAGUAAGUAUGUUUUGUAGAUAUAGUUGUAAUUGAUCCAUUCCUGCAAUUGCUUGCAAUUAUGGAGGGCCAUAGCAUGACUCAAUCUUGCUCUACUUUUGCUAUAAAAUAUUUCUGGCAGAUUCUUAACAUGAUAUGCAAUUUUGCCAAGCUUAUUGUAGUUGAUCCUUACAUGCUAUGCUUUUGUUCUUGCCAUGGUUAGCUUCAUCAACAUGCCAUAUUUAUGUAGGUGUGCUUGGUUUGUAGUGCAUUGCUCUGUAGUGAGUGCAUCAAGCUCACAAAGAGGCCUACAUAUUAUUAUUUCUGCCAUGCUCUGUUUUCUGCUAAGUCUGAAACCUGAUAACGAAACUUGCUAUGUUUACAUGCUUGCCAUCAUAUCUUAUGGUCCUUUUUGGUUAAUGGUCAGUAAGAGACUUUUGUCAUGUGCAUUUAGUAGAACACUACCAUUCCUUGUUUUGCUAUAAUAAGUUCCUGUAGCAUGUUGAUUUCGUGCUCUAUAACAUUGCUACCUGAUGCUGUUUUUCUGCCAUGUCCAGUUUUUCACCAAGUCUGUGAACCUGUUAUCUUUUGCACGUUUGCCAUGCUUGUUUGAGCUUGAUAUGUUGUGAACUAUCCGUAGCUCAGUGUUCAUCUUUUGUCAAGCAUCUCCUGUAGAUUACUUCCAUGUGCUUUGUUGCUAUGUUGGAGUGUUGUAGCAUUGUUACUUGUUGCAUUUUAAGUGCUAUCUUGCUGUUAAUCGCAGAUUCGUGUCAUUCUUGUUUUGCUUGCCAUUUGCAAACCGUGCAUCCGAUUCCGGUGAUCUUUAUAUCGAUUUCGACCGAAAUCAUCCCAUCUUUCCAUUGGCAUGCUUGGUUUGCCAAGUUACUGCCAUGUUCAUCAUUUUUCCGUCCGGAGCACGCAUAUGCAUCGCAUAUCAUAUCUUGCAUAUCAUACAUGUUUUGCAUCAUGUUGAUUGUGCAUUUCUCGUGAUUGAUUGUGGUUCCGUUUGCUUGUGUUCUUGCCUUGGGUAGAUCCGGGAGACGAGUUCGUGAACGAGGAACCUGUUGAGUACGCUUACGAGGAUCAAGCUUUCGACAACUCUGAGAACCUUGCAGGCAAGAUGACCACCCCUCGAAAUCACUUCUAUCUUUGCUUUGCUAGUUGUUCGCUCUUUUGCCAUGCUCCGCUACCUAUCACAUGCUAUAUCAUGUCUCCCAUUUUUCCAUGUCAGCCUCUAACCAUCAUUUCCUAGCAAACCGUUGUUUGGCUAAGUCACCGCUUUUGCUCAGCCCCUCUUAUAGCGUUACUAGUUGCAGGUGAAGUUGAAGUUUGUUCCAUGUUGGAACAUGGAUAUGUUGGGAUAUCACAAUAUCUCUUAUUUAAUUAAUGUAUCUAUAUAUUUGGUAAAGGGUGGAAGGCUCGGCCUUAUGCCUGGUGUUUUGUUCCACUCUUGCCGCCCUAGUUACUGAUAUACCGGGAUUAUGUUCCUUGAGUUUGCGUUCCUUACACGGUCGGGUGAUUUAUGGGACCCCCUUGACAGUUCACCUUGAAUAAAACUCCUCCAGCAAGGCCCAACCUUGGUUUUACCAUUUGCGACCUAUGCCUUUUUCCCCCGGGUUUUCUAGAGCCCGAGGGUCAUCUUUAUUUUAAACCCCCGGGCCAGUGCUCCUCUGAGUAUUGGUCCAAACUGUCAGUCGCCGGUGGCCACCAGGGGCAACUCUGGGCUGGCCUAUCGGAAGCUUGGACAAUCCGGUGUGCCCUGAGAACGAGAUAUGUGCAGCUCCUAUCGGGAUUUGUCGGCACAUUCGGGCGGCUUUGCUGGUCUUGUUUUACCAUUGUCGAGAUGUCUUGUAAACCGGGAUUCCGAGACUGAUCGGGUCUUUCCGGGAGAAGGUUUAUCCUUCGUUGACCGUGAGAGCUUAUGAUGGGCUAAGUUGGGACACCCCUGCAGGGUAUUAUCUUUCGAAAGUCGUGCCCGCGGUUAUGAGGCAGAUGGGAAUUUGUUAAUGUCCGGUUAUAGAGAACUUGUCACUUGACCCAAUUAAAAUACAUCAACUGCGUGUGUAGCCAUGAUGGUCUCUUCUCGGCGGAGUCCGGGAAGUGAACACGGUCUGAGUUAUGUUUGACGCAAGUAGGUGUUCAGGAUCACUUCUUGGUCAUUGCUAGAUGACGUUCGUUCCGUUGCUUCUCUUCUCGCUCUCAUUUGCGCAAGUUAGCCACCAUAUAUGCUUUUGCCGUUGCAGCUCCACCUCACUACACCAUCCUUUCCUACUAGCUUAAAUAGUCUUGAUCUCGCGGGUGUGAGAUUGCUGAGUCCCCGUGACUCACAGAUUCUACCAAAACAGUUGCAGGUGCCGACGAUGCCAGUGCAGAUGAUGGCGUCGAUCUCAAGUGGGAGUUCGACGAGGAACGUGGUCGUUACUAUGUGUCUUUUCCUGAUGAUCAGUAGUUGAGCCCAGUUGGGACGAUCGGGGAUCUAGCAUUUGGGGUUGUCUUAUUUUCAUUUGGAUUUUGACCGUAGUCGGUCUAUAUGUUUGUAUUUUGGAUGAUGUAUGAUUAAUAUUUAUGUAUUGUGUGAAGUGGCGAUUGUAAGCCAACUCUUUAUCCCAUUCUUGUUCAUUACAUGGGAUUGUGUGAAGAUGACCCUUCUUGCGACAAAACCACUAUGCGGUUAUGCCUCUAAGUCAUGCCUCGACACGUGGGAGAUAUAGCCGCAUCGUGGGCGUUACACGUUCCUACCUCUCUGCACGCUGCGUCGUGCCUUUGUAAUUCUGUACUUGCUGCCACGGCGGCUUUUNNNNNNNNNNNNNNNNNNNNNNNNNNNNNNNNNNNNNNNNNNNNNNNNNNNNNNNNNNNNNNNNNNNNNNNNNNNNNNNNNNNNNNNNNNNNNNNNNNNNNNNNNNNNNNNNNNNNNNNNNNNNNNNNNNNNNNNNNNNNNNNNNNNNNNNNNNNNNNNNNNNNNNNAAAAACGUCUAGAUACAUUCGUUUCAGCGACAACUAGUGUGGAUCGCAGGGAGUACCCAAUUAUAUAAAUUUUGCUAUAUGGCCAUUGAAUGAUCACUAGGAUUUCAAGUUGUCCAGUGCAAUUUGCUCUCAACAAGCUGGAUAUAUAAGAGGCUAAGAAUCUGGAUCUUCAUUCAUCGCACACCCCUGUAAUACCAAUUAGAUGAUGAAAGCAACAUAUUUUCAGAGAGAUGGAUGGUCAAAGUAGGACUGUGUCAAUGUGCAGAUAUUUUGGAACAAAGGGGGUUGUCGUGGAAUUGUCACCGGAGAUGUCCUCGAGCUAGGACUUAGUCGUGAAGCCAUCGCUACUAGGAAGCUUGAAGGGGUUAUGCGGGACAAGGAACACGAGGGUUAUACUGGUUCGGCCCCUUACGGUGAAGGUAAAAGCCUACGUCCAGUCUGCGGUGAUAUUGAUUAGGGUUACGAUCGCCAAGAGCUAGUCAGCUAUGCCCGGCUCUCGAUGAGAUUGUUCUCUCUCUUAAACCGCUGCCGGGUCGUCCCUUUAUAUAGGGAGGAAGACGCCCAGCAGCCCUUAGAGUCCCGGCCGGCUCAUAAGAGUGUCCGGCUCGGACUCUAAACUAAACUUGCCUUAAGCCGCAAGUUCUACUAUAAUAAUGAUUGUAACUACGGGCCUUAAGCUAUAUCCGGGUCUCAGCCCAUCUCUGGCCCAUCGUCUUGAAACUUGGCUCCGGGCUUCAGGCAACGACCGUACGAGUAACCCGGCCCCUCCUGGCGGGUGACUCUAAGGUCUAUAUCCUCAACAUUAGGCCCCAGAUUGAUUUGAGCCGGCUCACGUCAAUCUUCAACUCUUCUGACAGAAAAAAUCUCCGGCUUACCAUCUAUGUGAAGGCCAUAACCCGGAGUGACGUCAUCCUCUGGACUCUGGAUAAUCCGCCGUGACGUCAUCCUCCAUUAAGUCCGUUUUUUACUCCGCCAGAUCCGCAACGGAUCUUUGCUUUUACUGUCAUUCCGAAAAUCGAGGCGUCGUGAGGGGGAGAUAACCACGCCGUGGUUCCCUUGAAUCUCGCGCCCACUUAUGACCUCACCUUAUAAAUAGGCCAGCCCAACAGGUUCUUCUCACGCUCUCUUCUUCCUCCUCGCGUCGUCGCUCCUCUGCCAAAGCUCUACCACUGCCGCCGCCGUCGCGCCCCUGGUCUUCAUCAACCCGGCCGCUGCAUCACCCUGACUCGGACCAGAUAAACGGCGGCGACCUCCGCUCUUCUCCAACUCCGGUGAGUCUCCUUUACCCUGUCAGAUAGAUCUACCGUAGGGUUUGUCUGUGUUCUUCACGUUCAUCGCUAUCGCCACAAACCUCAGUAGUUCUCAUAGUCAUUGUACUUGAUUGAUCUCUAACCUUGCAUAGAACUAGUGCGGUAGUUGUCUUAAGCCUCAUUUCAAGUACCAGUAGAUCUCCUUCCACUGUACAGAUGCUUCGUUCGAGCUCAAGAAUAUCCGCUCGUCUGUUUCUAGGUCUAGAAAGUUUUCAUUUCACCCGACCAUUUUGAUCCAAAAAAGUUACUGCCAUAUGUGAAACCUGUUUUACCACACUUAGUAAAAACUGCAACUAUUGAAUCUUGGCGGCUUACAUUUCCGGCUUAAAGAAAACACGCGCCGUAGAACUUUCCGGUUUAAAGAAAACCAUGCUCUGUAGAAUCCUCCGGCUUAACUGUAGUAAAUAACCAAUUUACUCUGAAUCCCCCUGCGGCUUAAACAACCCACCGUAUCUAAAUAUAUAUCAUUAGUCCCCUUCAUAAGCCGCCAUCUUAGUUUGAAUGAUAGAUCUCCGGCUUAUAAUUAACCCGGACACUUUUCUCUUUAUCAUAGACCACCAACCUUCACCAUGCCUCCCAAGGCUCCCAUCACUUGCAACUGGAUGAGAUCCAACGUCACCGACGAGACCCUGGCCAAUUUCGUUAAGUCCGGAUAUUUUCCUAAGAAGGAAAUCAUGUCCUACCGUGCCCCUGACCCGUCGGAAGAGAGACCACAGCCAAGGGACGGGGAGGUAGUGAUCUUCGCAGACCAUAUGAGCCGGGGCUUCGCACCGCCUGGCUCAAAGUUUUUCAGGGACGUGCUCAACUUCUUUGACUUACGGCCUCAGGAUAUAGGACCCAACUCCGUAUCCAACAUCUGCAACUUCCAGGUCUUUUGCGAAGUGUACCUUGGAGAAGAGCCCAGUUUGCUGCUUUUCAGAGAACUGUUCUACUUAAACCGCCAAAAUGAGUGUGCCAAUGGGCCAAGUCUGGAGUUAGGCGGCAUCUCCAUCCAGCGGCGUAGGGACUGUCUGUUCCCUUACGCAGAGCCGCCAAGCCACCCCAAGGACUGGAAUAUGACUUGGUUCUACUGCCAAGAUACGUCCCCGGCUGACGAGAAUCCGCUGCCUGGCUUUCGCCCAACACGUCUAGAGCCGACUCAUCCGCUGUCGGACAAACUGACUGCAGCGGAACGCCAACCUCUGCUUCCAACCAUCAAUAAGAUCAAGGCCCUACUAGGCAACGGUCUGAACGGGAUUGACCUGGUCCGGGUCUGGAUCUCAUGGCGGGUGAUCCCAUUGAGCCGCCGCCCCAGCUUAAUGUGUGAGUACACCGGGCGAAAAGAUGACCCGCAGAGGCACAGUCGCAAUGAUCUUCCAGAAGAUGUUGCAGAGGAAGAGACCAAGGCUCUAUUAAACGAGAGUCUAGCAGACUGUGGAAGGACCGGGCUAGCGCCCUUCUGCAAGACCAAUCCAGCCCCAGCGGUAAGCCGCUGACUUUAACCUUUCAAUUUCUUCUGCAUGUAACCUUGAUCUGAACUGUUUUAAGAAUCAAUCAUUGUAUCCUUCAGGCUGAUGACAAAUUCUGGUAGGUCAAAUAUGACCAUGAAGCGGCCAAGAAGACCAGGAAGGCGAAGAAAGCCGCCAAGAAAGCCGCCCCUCGCAAAAAGGGAAGCAGACCCACUGCUUCGGAGCUAAUGCAAUUAAGCGACAGCUCCGAGUCAGAGGUAACCCUUAAACCUUUAAAUUUUUGUUAUAUUUGUUGUUUGUUGCUGUCUUCCUUAUCAACACUUUGCUCAUUGACAGGAUGACACCGGCGCCAGUAACCCGGUGGUUGAAGAGGUAACAUCACUUUCCUCCGGCUCGGAGCCCUUGCCACAGCUGAAAGUCCGAAGGGUAACCCGGAAAGUAAGCUUUUCUCAUCCUUUAGCUCAUCAAGACCCUCAAUUUCCUUUGAAGCAGCAGGUUCACGAAAGUCGGCGUCACACCCGGGCCCGCAAGGACACCGACCUCUCCGUCGGGUUACCCGACGCAACAAGGAAGCGUCGCACUGAGGUUUUCUUUUCUCACUUGUACCCUUUUCAUCCGUUGGCGGGUGUUAUCCGUCAGCCACUCAACUCUUCUGACUCCAAUUAUCUGGAGACCUCCCCCUCUUCGGGUGACUCCAUGCAGUCAAAUCUGCCGGCCUUCAAGACUGCACCCGGGUAAUAACAAUCUCCUUACAUUAUCUUGUCUGUACUUACUCGUUGUGUGCCUAACACUUCUGUCUUUUUAGUGCCCAGGCAAAGCUCACCAAACGGGCGAAGAAGACCAGAUCAGCCGGAGUGCCAGACUUACCUGACCCGGAGGCGACGGCUCAAGAGCCGCCAGCUGCCUCCGCCCCCGAAGCCACCACUCCAAAGAAUACGGCGCCUGAGGCCCCUGCCCCGACUACCAAGACAACGACCGAAGCUUCGGUUAACCCGGAGGCCUCCGGCUCAGCUCCACCAGCAGACGACCCGGACGUGGUAAUCACCCGGACGGAAUUCGUUGAGCCGGGGAGACCGACCGUGUUGGCCCAAUGCUCCGCGAAGGGGGAGUUACUGCAGCCCCACCGGGUGAACCUGGACCUCUCCGGCUACACCGACUUGAGCAUUGGAGAGCUCGUCUCCGGCUACAUCAAUCAAGUCCACAAGAGCCGGGACGCCGAGGUCGCCAUGGUCAACCAGAUCCAACAAAAAUCUGAGGUAUCCUUCUGCUGCCGUCUUAUUUACUGCAUAGUUACCUUUGCCAUGCUAGCCCCCAAGUCAACGACUUAUGCUUGAAUAUGUUGUACACUUAGGUUCCGGCUUACUCAACUGAGCCGGCAAUAUGUAGAUAGAUACGUUCAAUAUGCAUUAGCCCCCAAAUGCCAAGUGUCUUUGCUUGGAAAGCGCUUAGGACUUAUAUAAUGACUGUUAAUAACCCGGAAAUAUAUGCAGGCUGUUGGCAAGAAAUUAGAGGCGGAUCUUGCGGAUCUCAAGAGCCGGCUGAAAAUGCAGGAGAUGGAGACCCGGAAGGCAAACGCCAAGUUUGUAUCCAGCAUCGCCACUUACGAAAAAUUGAAGACCGAGUUUGAUGCUGAGAGGAAAGCCUGGGUCGAAGAGAAGGCCGCACUGGUGACCCGGGCGGAACAGGCGGAGAAGGCUCUCGCUGAGAAGACCGCCGAGCUCUCCGGCCUAAAGCGCCAGGUUUCCCAAAUGGUGGCUGCUAUCUUUGGUAAGUCACCUCACCGGCUUUCAUCAAGUAUGUAUAUAUCAUGAUUCAUCCUUGUCACCGGCUUAUCUGAUCUUGUUAAACAGGUCCCAGGAGUGCCAACCUCAAUCAGAGCGUGGUCACCAAAUUAAAGGUCGUGUACACCCUGGUGGAACAGCUCUACACCGGGUCACAGCGUGCCUUAGCUGUGGUGGCCCUAUCCAACGAGGUGCCAACUCAUCUGGUCAAAGUCCUGCGCCGGCUCGCUGUUCUGCCACAGCGGAUCCAGGAGCUACGACGAGCCUCUGCGAAAGCCGGAGCAAUCGCCGCGCUGAGCCGGGCCAAAGCAUUCCUGCCGGAGCUAGACCCGGCAGACAUCACCCUGGGUUAUCCAAGCCUGAAGGAAGACGGCUCAGCCUUCGACCAGAGGGACUUCGCGGCGUGUGUGAAGGCUGUACGCCCGGUGGCCACCAUCAUCGGGAACGACACCGACUUAACCAAGUACCAGCCGGGUUACGAUGCGGAGAAUCGGAGGAUUCCAACCCCUCGCUAUGAAGCUCUCAAUCUGAUUCCUCCGGCUCGUCAGCACACCUUCGCCCCGGAGAUUGACCCGGCCGGGUUAAUUGAUGAAGAAGCCCAGUUCGAAACUCUCAGCGGCAUUGACUGGAAAUCAUCCACCUUCGAGGUCUUAGGUUCAGCCGGAGGAGAAGACAGGAAUGAGCCGGGGACUUCAACCCAGCAGGCAUCAUAGUUUAACUGGCGGGUUACCAAACAUUGUUCCACCUUUUAAACUUGAGGAGUUAUUGUAAUAGAGUAGGCGCAACAAUUUAUCUCUGCCGUGCCAUCGUGCACGUUUUGAAUGCGAAAGCCCUUUGAAUUUGUCUCUUUGAUGCUUCUCCGGGUCAUAAUCCUUCCAUUGCUUUUCUUAACCUCAAAAGGUGCUUUUAAGUUUCUGCAUAUAAAAGCAAAUCACAAAUCUCGAGGCGACUUACCGCCCUGAGAUUCAGGUGUUUAAGAUAAAUAACCCGGAAUAUGAAUUAAAAAAGACUGGUCCUUGAUUACACUCUGAACAUAGCCGUAACAAUCACACUUAUCAGCCUGUAAGUAUACUUCCGGUUGAAAGAACCCGGUGCAGUAAGUUGACGCCAAAAUUAAGCCGGCACGUGAAACACGGCCAUGCACACCUCAGAGUAAACUUGUGAAAAAGCAGAAGAACUUAGGGGCUUCCGGUUCGAAUACGACCAGAGACCCGGCCCCAAGGGGUUAAGCUAAGAUUCGGAUACGACCAUAUAGCCCCCAGUGGGUGUGGCGAUGCCAAUCAAGAGGGUACCGACAGCUAUGUUCUCUUUGGUUCGAAUACGACCCAUGUUUGAACAGGAAGCCCCCAAGUGAUUCUUAAAAUUGUUUAACGACGCUGAUUCGAAUACGAUCCACGUCGGUUCUCAGAGGGGUUAAACUAUGAUUCAAAUAUGACCAAAGGCAACCUCCCAAUGAGCUCGGCACUUUGCCAAUCAAAUGGGUAUCGACAGCUAUGUUCUCUUUGGUUCGAAUACGACCCAUGUUUGAACAGGAAGCCCCCAAGUGACUUUAUUGCUUACGGCUAGAUUCGAAUACGAUCAUAAGCCGGAUCCUCCUUUAGCAUGUAAUCUUGUAAUAAAAACAACACACGCAUAUUUGGAGGAGAAAAAAGGACAGAGGUCCUGCUUUAUUGCUUAUUAUAAUAUAUACAUGGCUGAGAUGAAUAUGUACACCACGAGAGCCGGUAGUUCAAGUGUAGUAAGGCCGAAGCUGAGCUAUGUUCCACGGCCGACGGGUCUCUUCCUCAGACUUACGUGAAUCUUUGUGCUCCCGAAUGUCAAUGAGGUAAUAUGACCCGUUGUGCAAAUUCUUUCUGACCACAAAAGGCCCUUCCCAAGGUGGGGAUAACUUAUGUGCAUCUGUUUGAUCCUGGAUGAGCCGGAGCACAAGGUCGCCUUCCUGGAAGACCCGGGAUUUGACCCGGCAGCUAUGAUAACGGCGCAGGUCUUGUUGGUAAAUCGCUGAACGGGUUGCUGCCACAUCACGCUGUUCGUCCAACAAGUCCACAGCAUCUUGGCGCGCCUGUUCAUUAUCCGUCUCAACAUAAGCCGCCACGCGAGGCGAAUCGUGACGGAUGUCGCUGGGCAGGACUGCUUCUGCUCCAUAAACCAUGAAGAAAGGCGUGAAGCCUGUAGACCUGUUAGGAGUAGUGUUGAUGCUCCAUAAAACGGAGGGCAACUCCUCCACCCAACAACCCGGCGUCCGUUGCAAAGGGACCAAAAGCCGGGGCUUGAUGCCCUUCAGAAUUUCCUGGUUAGCUCUUUCAGCUUGACCAUUGGAUUGAGGAUGAGCCACUGAAGAAACAUCAAGCCGGAUAUGCUCUCGUUGACAAAACUCUUCCAUGGCGCCUUUGGAGAGAUUGGUGCCGUUGUCAGUUAUAAUGUUGUGCGGAAAACCAAAGCGAAAAAUCACCUUUUUCAUAAAUUGAACCGCCGUGGCUGCAUCACACUUGCUGACUGGCUCAGCUUCCACCCACUUUGUGAAUUUGUCAACUGCCACCAAGAGGUGGGUCUUCUUAUCCUUGGACCGUUUAAAAGGCCCAACCAUAUCAAGCCCCCAGACCGCAAAGGGCCAAGUGAUUGGGAUCAUCCUCAAUUCCUGAGCCGGCACGUGAGCCCAUCGUGAGAACCUUUGGCAACCAUCCAUUUACUGACCAAGUCUUCUGCAUCAGCAUGAGCUGUCAACCAAUAAAUACCAUGACGGAAAGCCUUGGCUACAAGGGAUUUUGAGCCGGCAUGAUGGCCACAAUCCCCUUCAUGGAUCUCCCGCAAGAUCUCUUGGCCUUCCUCAGGGGAAAUACAACGUUGAAAUGCCCCUGAAACACUGCGAUGAUGUAACUCGCCAUCGAUGACGAUCAUCGACUUAGCCCGCCGGGUUAUUUGCCUGGCCAGGGUUUCAUCCUCAGGCAACUCUCCCCGGGUUAUAUAAGCCAGAUAUGGCAUUGUCCAGUCUGGUAUGACAUGAAGAGCCGCCACCAGUCGUGCCUCCGGGUCAGGGAUAGCCAAGUCCUCCUCUGUAGGCAACUUAACCGAGGGGUUAUACAGGACAUCCAGGAAAGUGUUAGGCGGCACCGGCUUUCGCUGAGAGCCUAGCCGGCUUAAAGCAUCAGCCGCCUCGUUCUUUCUGCGAUCAAUGUGCUCCACUUGGUAUCCCUGAAAGUGCCCAGCAAUGGCAUCAACCUCGCGGCGAUAAGCCGACAUGAGAGGAUCCUUAGAAUCCCAGGUGCCUAACACUUGUUGAGCCACCAAGUCCGAGUCACCAAAGCACCUUACCCGGCUUAAGCUCAUCUCCUUAGCCACCCGAAGACCGUGGAGCAAAGCCUCGUAUUCAGCCGCAUUGUUAGUGCAAGGAAACAUCAGCUGUAGCACAUAAUGGAACUUGUCACCCUUAGGGGAAGCCAAUACCACGCCAGCCACCGAGCCCUCCAGCUGUCUGGACCCAUCAAAGUGAAUAGUCCAAUAAGUGUUAUCCGGCUUUUGCUCAGGCACUUGUGACUCUGUCCAAUCAUUGAUGAAAUCCACCAAGGCCUGAGAUUUAACAGCAGUGCGUGGCACAUAUUUGAGGCCAUGAGGUCCAAGUUCGAUAGCCCACUUAGCAAUUCUCCCUGUGGUCUCUCUGUUUUGAAUAAUAUCACCAAGAGGGGCAGAACUGACCACAGUGAUGGGAUGACCCUAAAAAUAAUGCUUAAGCUUCCGGCUCGCCAUGAACACACCAUACACAAGCUUCUGCUAAUGCGGGUACCGCUGCUUGGACUCAAUGAGCACUUCGCUGACAUAAUAAACCGGCCGCUGAACCGGAUGCUCCUUACCCGCCUCCUUGCGCUCCACCACAACAGCCAUGCUGACAGUUCGCGCGUUCGCCGCCACAUAUAGUAGCAAGGGCUCCUUAUCAACCGGAGCAGCAAGGACGGGGGGCUCUGCCAGCUGCUUUUUCAAAUCCUCAAAAGCGGUAUUAGCUGCAUCACUCCAGACAAAGUUAUCAGUUUUCUUCAUCAACUGAUAUAAGGGCAUAGCCUUCUCACCCAAACGGCUUAUAAACCGGCUUAAAGCAGCGAUGCGACCCACCAAGCGCUGAACGUCAUUUAUACACGCCGGCUUAGCUAGGGAGGUGAUGGCCUUGAUCUUCUCCGGGUUAGCCUCAAUACCUCUGUCAGAAACCAAGAAACCCAAUAGUUUGCCUGCAGGAACACCAAAAACACACUUGGUCGGGUUAAGCAUCAUCUUAUAGACCCGAAGAUUGUCAAAGGUUUCUCUUAAGUCAUCUAUCAGGGUUUCCUCCUUGAGGGAUUUAACCACAAUAUCAUCCACGUAAGCGUGAACAUUGCGCCCGAUCUGUUUAUGAAGACAGUUCUGUACACAGCGCUGGUAAGUCGCCUGUGCACACUUGAGUCCAAAGGGCAUAGACACAUAGCAGAAGGCUCCAAAGGGAGUGAUGAAUGCCGUCUUCUCCUGGUCCUUAACCGCCAUCUUAAUCUAAUGAUACCCGGAAUAAGCAUCCAAGAAACUUAAGCGUGCACAACCCGCCGUAGCAUCAAUGAUUUGAUCAAUACGGGGGAGGGCAAAAGGAUCAGCCGGACACACCUUGUUCAAGUCCGUGUAGUCCACACACAUCCGCCAGGUGCUGUUCUUCUUGAGUACGAGCACCGGGUUAGCCAACCAUUCUGGGUGAAAAACUUCAACAAUAAACCCGGCCGCCAAGAGCCGGGCCACUUCUUCACCAAUGGCCUUCCGCCUCUCCUCAUUAAACCGUCGAAGGAACUGUCUGACCGGCUUAAAUUUUGGAUCAACAUUGAGAGUAUGCUCAGCGAGUUCUCUAGGUACACCUGGCAUGUCAGAAGGUUUCCAUGCGAAGAUGUCCCUAUUCUCACGGAUGAACUCGAUGAGCGCGCUUUCCUAUUUUGGAUCCAGAUUGGCACUGAUGCUAAACUGCUGAGAUGAAUCUCCUGGAACAAUAUCAACAAGCUUAGUUUCAUCAGCCGACUUAAAUUUCAUUGCCGGCUCAGUCUCCGUAGUCGGCUUCUUCAGAGAGGUCAUGUCUAUUGGGUCAACAUUGUCUUUGUAAAACUUCAGCUCCUCUGUAGCACAAACAGACUCUGCAUAAGCUGCAUCACCUUCCUCACACUCCAGAGCCACCUUCCGGCUGCCGUGAACCGUAAUGGUCCCAUUGUGACCCGGCAUCUUGAGCUGUAAGUACACAUAACACGGCCGUGCCAUGAACUUGGCGUAAGCCGGCCGUCCAAAUAUAGCAUGGUAUGGACUUCUUAUCUUGACCACCUCAAAGGUCAAUUUCUCCACCCUGUAGUUGUUCUCAUCACCAAAAGCCACUUCCAACUCGAUCUUGCCGACUGGAUAAGCCGACUUACCAGGUACCACACCAUGGAAGAUAGUGUUUGACUGGCUGAGGUUCUUAUCAACCAGCCCCAUACGGCGAAAAGUCUCAUAAUAGAGGAUGUUGAUGCUGCUGCCUCCAUCCAUGAGCACCUUUGUGAACUUACAACCUCCCACCUGAGGAGCCACCACUAAGGCCAAGUGGCCUGGGUUAUCCACCUGGGGAGGGUGAUCCUCCCUACUCCAUACUAUAGGCUGCUCAGACCACCGCAGGUAGCGUGGAACCGCCGGCUCAACAGCAUUCACAGCCCUCUUGUGAAGCUUCUGAUCUCGUUUGCACAAACUAGUGGUGAACACAUGAUACUGUCCACCGCUAAGCUACUUUGGGUUGGUCUGAUAACCCCCCUGCUGCUGUUGAUGACCCUGACCAGACUGUUGAUUGAAGCCCCCUUGACCGCUCUGAGGACCGGAAUUUGAGCCGCCGCCCGGGCCAUGAAAGCCGCCGGCGCCUGAGCCGCCGCCCGGGCCAUUGUAGCUCUUAAAGGCCUUCAUGAUCGUGCAAUCCUUCCACAGAUGAGUCGCUGGUUUCUCUCUAGAGCCACGCCUCGGGAAGGGGUCCUCCCCUUGCGUCGCUGGUUAUUACUUUGGGAGUUGGCGUUGGCUACAAACUCUAGGCUGCCAUCGGCCUUACGCUUGCCUCCUCCUUGGUUCCCCGGGUUAAACUGAGGACCCUUGCCAUUGCCGUUCUUCUUUCCCUUCCCAGUCCUUUCAUCGUCUGAAGGGGGAUCCUUGGUACCAUCGGAAUCGGCGUAUUUGACAAGAGCCGCCAUUAGUGUACCCAUAUCAGUGCAGUCACGUUUAAGCCGCCCGAGUUUCAUCUUUAGGGGCACAAAGCGACAGUUUUGUUCCAACAUUAAGACUGCAGAGCCGGCGUCCAUCUUAUCCGAUGAGUGUAUGAUCUCCUUGACCCGGCGAACCCAAUGGGUCGUGGAUUCACCCUCUUGCUGCUUACAGUUAGUCAGAUCCACAAUUGACAUAGACUGCCUACAGGUAUCUUUGAAGUUUUGAAUGAACCGGGCUUUCAGCUCAGCCCAAGACCCAAUGGAGUUCGGUGGUAGCCCUUUCAACCACGUGCGGGCAGUUCCAUCUAACAUCAUGGUGAAAUAUUUGGCCAUGGCUGCCUCACUGACCUCCAGCAAUUCCAUAGCCAUCUCAUAACUCUCAACCCAGGCUGCAGGCUGUAAGUCAGCUGUAUAGUUAGGUACCUUCCUGGGGCCCUUGAAGUCCUUAGGUAGACGUUCAUUACGGAUAGCUGGCACCAAGCAAGGGACACCCCCGGUCCUGGUAGGGAUACCCACAUCAACGGAAGUCGUCGGAUAAGCCGGGGGGGUCUGGUAAGCCGUCAACUGAGGCACCUGCUCCGCCUCUUGCCGUGCUUGGUCUGCUGCGUAAAAGGCUCCAUUAUGAGCCGGGCCAUGGCCAGGGGGCGGGUCAUGGCGUCGGACAUUACUUGAGCCGGUUGCUGAGGCCAUGUGACGGCUGUAACUCGGGCUCUAGCCUGGACGAGGGGUCGAGUGGAUCAUGUCCCGGCUGUAGGAGUACGCCUCUUGCUGUGCCAGUGCCGUCUGCAGGAGUUCCCUGACCCGGUGGGUUUCGAUGGCCGCUGGAGAGUCGCCGUCAACGGGGAGAGCCGCCAGUCGUGCUGCCGCAGCUACCAUGUUCUCCAGCGGGUUAUCAUAAUGACCCGGGGGUAUUGGCACGUAUUGAGGCGGGGCAGGGGGCACCUGGGGAGGCCCCAUCACCCGUGGCUGAAUGAGGGGUCCAGACCCGGGCGCGAUGACCCCUGGCGGGUUACUGGACCCUGCACCUGGCGUGUUGAAGAGAUUGCGUGGAUCGUAAACCGGCGGGAGUCGAGACUGGGCCUUCUGAUGCCUCCUUCUCAUGACCUCGUUGGCCGCCUUCUGAUCCAUCGUGAGUUGGAAGGACUGCGCUUGAAACAGCUGAGUCCGGGCGUCGAGAGCCGCCCGCUCCGCAGCCAGCCUGAUCCCUUCCGCUGCAAGAUCCUCUUUAGCUUUUAUCAACUCCAGUUUUAACUGUGCCACUUCCGCAUCAUGCUGAGCUUGAUUCGCCGGGUCAACCAUGGCGGUUAACAGGGCCGUCAUCUUGUCCGUGAGAUCCAUCAGCACCUGAGCCGGAGAAGGCACCGGGUUUCCCGAUCCAGCAGCGGGGUUUUGAACAGGCUGCGCACCAGCCAUAAAAAUUCCAAUCUGACUUGGCGGCUCAAAAAGGUCCGGAAUACUGUCGCCAUCGGAACAACCCAUGAGCCUGCCAUCUUGAAGUUGGUACAAAGAGUUUGAUUCAUCGGUGGCCGACUCGCUGUCAGAGCCGGCGGCCGCCUCAUCACCAGACCCAGAUGGAUCAAAGGGCCCUCCAUGGAUGCAUCCCACAAAGGCGCGCCUUAAGGCAGGCCGGGCCCGGGCGGGUCGUGCACGCUGAGCCGUUUCGGUGAGAUCGGUGCAGAGACCCGGCUCGGGGCCCGGCUCGCCAAUCUUGCCGAUGAAGACAUGAAUUCCGCCAAAGGGGACCCGGUACCCGUACUCAAUUGAGCCGGCGUCGGGGCCCCAGUCCGCAUCGUCGAUGUAGAGCUUGCCGCGACGACUCUUGGUCAUCCGGCCCACAGCGUAUCCCUUGAGCCCUUCGAAGCUGCCCUUAAGAACUCAAAUCCACCGUGCGCUGGCCCCACGGUGGGCGCCAACUGUCGUGGAAUUGUCACGGCAGAUGUCCUCGAGCUAGGACUUAGUCGUGGAGCCAUCGCUACUAGGAAGCUUGAAGGGGUUAUGCGGGACAAGGAACACGAGGGUUAUACUGGUUCGGCCCCUUACGGUGAAGGUAAAAGCCUACGUCCAGUCUGCGGUGAUAUUGAUUAGGGUUACGAUCACCAAGAGCUAGUCAGCUAUGCCCGGCUCUCGAUGAGAUUGUUCUCUCUCUUAAACCGCUGUCGGGUCGUCCCUUUAUAUAGGGAGGAAGACGCCCAGCAGCCCUUAGAGUCCCGGCCGGCUCAUAAGAGUGUCCGGCUCGGACUCUAAACUAAACUUGCCUUAAGCCGCAAGUUCUACUAUAAUAAUGAUUGUAACUACGGGCCUUAAGCUAUAUCCGGGUCUCAGCCCAUCUCUGGCCCAUCGUCUUGAAACUUGGCUCCGGGCUUCAGGCAACGACCGUACGAGUAACCCGGCCCCUCCUGGCGGGUGACUCUAAGGUCUAUAUCCUCAACAGGGGUGUUUAUAUCUUGGAAGGCCAAAAGUUCAAACCUCUUGUGGCGGCCAAAUUGGAAAACCGAACCAUUAGCUGCAUGAUGUAUAGAUGGAAAUCAGAUUAUUCUGUUUUUUGGAAGAAGAAAGAGGCACAAAUUUAAAAAUUGCAACCUAUUGACAAAAUGAAGUGCGCAGCACCUCGAUGCUGAAAAAAAAAGUGGGAGUUCCUUCCUGAGCAAUGAUGGUAGACCCAGAUCCUACUUGGCGCUUCAGGCAGUAUUUCCUUAGCUAUUUCCUUAGAGCAAACUGGGGCGGCCCAUAAACGUGAAGAGCGUUACCUUCUGGCCAGUUUUUAGGAAGCUUCCAGAAGCUUUUCAAACACUUUUUCUCCUUUUUAUGUUCUUUCUUUUUUAUUUUCGUUUUUUCUUUUACUUUUUCCUUGUUUAAAAUGCGUCAAGUUUUUCUUAAAUUUGCAAAAAAAACCUUAAAUUCAUGAACUUAUUUCAAAUUUGUGAAGUUUUUUCCUCAAAAAAGUGAACUUUUCAAAAUUGCUAACAUUUUCCCAAAUUUGUGAUUUUUUUUAAAUCUGCAAAACACGUUAAUUUUUUCUCUAAUUUAUAAACUUCUUUCAAAUUUGUGUAGUUCUAUCAAACUCAUGAACAUUUUUUCAAAGGUCAAGGAUAAGUCGAUAGUCAAUGGUCUACGAUGAUUCAUGAACUUUUUUUUCAAAUCCACGAUUUUUUUUCAAAUUGGUGAACUUUGUUUGUAUUCACAAACCUUUUAGAUUUUUUUUGAAUUUUUUGAUUUCACAAAGUUUUGAAAAUUCCUAUUUUUAAAAAAUUAAUUGCCGACUUUAUUGGGGAUUUUAUUUCGAAAUCAACGGUCAAACCGGUGAACUGAUCGAGUAUGCAACCGAGCGCGUGCGUGCGCGGCGGGNNNNNNNNNNNNNNNNNNNNNNNNNNNNNNNNNNNNNNNNNNNNNNNNNNNNNNNNNNNNNNNNNNNNNNNNNNNNNNNNNNNNNNNNNNNNNNNNNNNNNNNNNNNNNNNNNNNNNNNNNNNNNNNNNNNNNNNNNNNNNNNNNNNNNNNNNNNNNNNNNNNNNNNNNNNNNNNNNNNNNNNNNNNNNNNNNNNNNNNNNNNNNNNNNNNNNNNNNNNNNNNNNNNNNNNNNNNNNNNNNNNNNNNNNNNNNACAAGAUCGGAGGUCUCAAGGUUGACAUGGUAAAUUGGGACGUGGACGUUUGGUCUAUGGGUGUAUAUACACUCUAUAUGAAAAUAAAAUUAAUAACUAAACAAAAAGCCAAAAAAAACUGAAAAUGUUUUUGAAACAAGCUUGACCUCCAAUUGUACGUGUAAAAAAAUUCCACAAAAAAUAACCCUUUGACUUGUUUUAAAAAAAUCAGCCAAAAUAGUGUGGAUAGUGACUUAUAAUAGCAAAUAAUUUUGGUUUUUGAUUUUGCCCUGAAGUGAACGCUGGUUUUUUAUUCGUGGAAUUUUAUAUGCUAGUGCCAAAGAAAGUCAAGUUAAUUCUUAAAAAAUUCUGAAAUGUUUCUAUUUUUUGUAAUUAUUAAAGAAAAUCUCAUAUAGGGUGUAAUUACAACCAGAAACCGAGGGGUAUUUGCCUGGUAAAUUUGUUCAACCGAUUGAAUGCUGAAUGAACUACCCACCCUAUCAUAAACAAACGGGCCUUUUUACACCUGAGAAAAAAUACUACUGGGCCAAGUAAAAGCGCUGUCGGCCCACAGCCCGUCCCGCCGGCCCUCGUCCAUUCGCACGCCGCACCUUUUCACCGCAGUCUCACUCUCUCCUCAGAUUCAGAAGCAGCGGCAUCUCCAUCACCGUCGCCGUCGCCGCCGCCGCCGCCGCGCCUCCACUGAGUGCCGCCCUAGCCUGCGCGCCUCUCCUCGAGCCUGGCCUCCGCCGUCCCCGUGCACGCCCACGAGCCUCCCGCCACCGGGCCCAGUCCUCCUUCCUAGGUAGGUAAGCACGCACGCACCCUGCAUCUCCGGCGGUUGAUGGCUGAUUAUCCUUUAUUAUGUGCGCGGGUGCCCUUCUGCUAGAUCCAUUUCAGUGUCCGCUAUGAUUGUUUGUGCCAUGCGACGAUCUUGGUCUUAGCAUGAUCAGAGGAAACCAAUUUUCAGCUGUCCAUUGUUUGCUAUAUGCUGCUCGGUUCAGGGCAGGCUCGUGUGUUAUACUCGCUAGUGUCUGAGGCUGUGGCACAGCAAUAUAUCCAUGUCCACAUUUUAGAUGUACACUUGGUGAAAGUAGAGGGUGUCACAGCAGUGUAUAUGCAACUGCAGAUGUUAGAUCCAUGCUUGCUGAAAGUAGGGGCAACGGCAUAGCAGUAUGUGCAUGUGCGGAUCUUAGAUUUGUUAUAGUUGGUGAAUGUAGAGGCACUGCCAGGAAUUGUUUUCUUAGUGCGCCCCUGAAAUUCUGAGCUGCAUGCCGCUUCGCAGUGGCGUGCCGUGCUUUCUAAUCCACGUAGUACUUACGUCCCAUGUCUUCUGAGAUCAGACUUUGCUUUGAAUUUACAUGAGAAAUACAAACCAUGUCUGAAUCUUCGCUGGUUGUAAAUAUCAUUGUUCCAAAAUAUCGGCCAGUUAAUCGGCAUCUCGGUCAGUUAAUUGCUACUCUGUUGGUCACCGAAUAACCGAUUAAUUGAUUUAUCGGACGAUUAACUGGAAAAUUCGCCUAUUUAUCCCUACUCAGCACCCGGCCGAUAUGGUACCAGUUACCGAUAUCCUGAAAUUUAAAUAUUAUGACCCUACAUUACAUCACCGGUUCCGAACGCAAUUUGUUAUUCUUUGUGAUCCUGUUGUAAACGUUGGGGGUUCAUAGCAGCCUGCCUUAGUGUCUCAACUGAAUUGGAAUUUCACAAGUCUUUGUACCUGUUCCCCUUCUCUUCAUCUUACCGAUAUCCUGAAAUUUGAAUAUUAUGACCCUACAUUACAUCACCGGUUCCGAACGCAAUUUUUUAUUCUUUGUGAUCCUGUUGUAAACGUUGGGGGUUCAUAGCAGCCUGCCUGAGUGUCUCAACUGAAUUAGAAUUUCACAAGUCUUUGUACCUGUUCCCCUUCUCUUCAUCUUACUUUAUGCUGAUUCCUCUGCUGGGCCAGCUCCAGAAUGGGUCUCCUCAGCAUCAUCAGAAAAAUCAAGCGCAAGGAAAAGGAGAUGCGUAUUCUCAUGGUGUAAGCGUCCUGCUCCAUUCCUUUUUCGCCUUCUUAUUUUACCCCAGAUUCCUCCUAUCCAAACGCAUUAUUAUUCUUGGUUCUUUGCUUGAUAUGUAUGCUUCUUGACUUUCAAGGCUUGUGCCUUUCAGUUCUUUGUUAAUUGUUAUUCUUGAUUGAUUUAUUUCACCGAUGUCAAAUUUACAGCGGCCUGGACAACUCGGGUAAGACGACAAUUGUGCUCAAGAUAAAUGGGGAGGACACCAGUGUCAUCAGCCCUACUCUUGGCUUUAAUAUCAAGACCAUCCAGUACCAAAAGUAUGUACUACAUUCUUUGCUUAUUUAUCAAGUUAAGUAUAUGCCAUAACAGUAAUCAUCACUUCCAGCUGAUGUUAUAUUUGAUCGUUCCAUUUCCAUCUCGAGCAAAUCUAGAAAAAUGUCAGCUGUAGUAACAAAAAGUGCAAAAGGGGGCUGUGAGAAAUUUCAGAGUAAUUUAGGUUGAUGAUUCCAAUUUUAUAGUACCUCCAGGGUAUGCCACUUGUAUUAAGUAUUAACUGAAGGUGUUCUAGAAGAUAUCAUAGUAAUUUUAGCACUUGUAAUAUCUAUGUAUAUUCACUGCAUAGUACCACCGUUUUUCAACAGCGUCAGAAUUUUUCGUGCCUAUUAACUAUUGCAAGUAUGCCAUGCAUUCUGUUAUGUGAAGGGCACCCUAGCCUUUGUAGUUGCAUAAGAUAAUUAGAGGAACAAUCUUGCAAUCUGGGCUUGUUCUCUGGAGGUUUAGUGAUUAAUAUAUAAUUUCAACAGCUUUAGAUGAUUUCAUUUCAAUUACUGCUGGGGGAGAGUACUGUCGUGUUGUGCUUCAGCUAAAAUCAACUGAAGGUGGUCGAGCACCAGCAGUAUUCAAGGUGUGCAACUAGAUUCUUGGGGAAAAGCUAAGAGAGGAUGAGAUCCACAUAUAUGUUUGGGAAUUUUGUAGGCUGUAUUGCUCCACAACCACAAACAUCAGAGUGUAGUUUGGCACCGAUGUUUUCAAGUGGAAAGAGCAGACGCUAAUAUUUAAAUUCAACACAGGCGCAGUGCAAUUUGGAAUUUUGAAUAACUUAUGAAUUGACAAUUUUAGGGACAGGGUAGGACAACGGUGACACCGAACAGUACUAUCAAGCAAUAUGAUGGUUUGUUUUAGCUUGUUUUUAAGUCUAUGUCAGUCAGCAUCUGUCGUGUUUUCGGCCUACUAUGAAGCAAGCUGCAUGGAUGGUUGUAUUUUUAGCAUUCAAAGUAGGCAAUGCAAUUCCGAAUCUGGAGAGGUACUAAAUCACAUCUGCUGUGUUUUAGUUUGUUAUCAAGUGGGAAGAGGAGAUGAUAAUAUUUAAGUCUAACACUGAUGCGGUGUAAUUUGUAUAACUUAUGGUCAGCAAAUUGACAAUUUUAGAGACACUAGGACAACUGUGACACCAAAUGGUACAAUCAAGCAAAAUAUGAUGGUUCAUUUUAGCUUGUUUUUAGGUCUUCGUCAGCCGGCAUCUGUUAUGUUUUCAGCCUAUUACUGUACAAAGCAAGCUGCAUGGAUGGUUGUACUUUUAGCAUUUAAUGUAAGCUAUGCAAUUACUAACCUGUAAUCUGGAAAAGUGCUAAACCACAUCGGUGAAAAUACAACACAUUUUGGCCAUAAUUUUGACAGCUGCUUGAUGCCCAUCACUCAUGAAUCAUGGUGGUCAAAAACUCACAAUGCAUGAGCACAGUCAUGGGAACAGCAGAACAAAUUGCCAGGAAUUGAUAAUGGGGCUGAUUGUGGCAGGUACUCGCUGAACAUAUGGGAUGUUGGGGGCCAGAAGACCAUCCGUUCGUAUUGGAGGAACUACUUUGAGCAGACUGACGGUCUAGUUUGGGUGGUGGAUAGUUCCGAUGUCCGAAGGCUCGAUGAUUGCCGUGCUGAGCUCCACAAUCUUUUGAAAGAAGAGGUAAAUUGCCUAGUGAAUACCACUAAUCGUCUGCUUUAGCAUUCUUUGUCUUGAAAUUUUGCUUCAAAUUACUUAGCUGAAAACUAGCAAUUGCUGUUUAGCAUCAGGAAACUCUUGGGACUGCAAAUUUGAUUACCUAGCAUGUUUGUGCUUAAUUUAUGUGCUAUCCUGUUCAACUACUGAAUGACCCUUGAAAUAUUGAUUACAGAGACUGGCUGGGUCAUCGCUGUUAGUUUUCGCAAAUAAGCAGGACAUUCAAGGCGCUUUGAAGCCUGACGAGAUCGCCAAGGUAAAACACACUAUCACUAGUCCAGUACUCCAGUAGUAUGUAUAUAUGGACCCUCAUGUAUGGGUCAAUCUUCUUACCUGGAGUCGCAUGAUGCCAUGACCAUCUUGUGAUCGUCGCUUCAGGGAGUAGCCAAAACCUCGGAAAACAAUCCCAGCAAGCAUAUACAUACUAGUCUGUGGUCUUCGCUCCAAGAUGCUUUUUGUCUUCUUAAAUUGACAUGUUUAGUCUUUGAAUUCGAUGGUAACUGGAGUUGAGUUUUGGAUUCAGGUUCUGAAUCUUGAAGUGAUGAACAAGGACCGGCACUGGAAGAUUGUCGGCUGCAGCGCCUACACGGGCGACGGCCUGCUCCAGGGCUUCGACUGGCUGGUUCAGGACAUCGCCUCCCGCAUCUAUGUCCUCGACUGAAACAACCAAACUCUCUGGACAUUUAGCCAUAGGCAUGCUGCUGCUUUGGCCAUCUCAUGGCAUCUGUAUGUAAUCUGAUCAAGUUUGAACCAAACCAUAAAUGACAUUUUUAUUCUACACUUCCCUUGUGCUCCGUGUCAGUUGUGAAAGAUGGUGACAGCAAGUUUUGCAUCUUAUGCAGGAUUAGAAUAUGGAUGCUCGCAAUCAGUCCGAAUGACAGCAAGUUUAGAAUAUUUUUUUUCCUGAUUCACAGAACAAUUUCAAUAGAUCUAAGCAAAGAUCGAUGGAUGCUUCAGAACAGUAGAGAGAAAGGAACAAAAAUAAUCAGGACACAGAGGAGGAUAUUUCGCAGCUAUGACGACUUGCAUUUUCUUCCAUUUAAACCGAGUUCAAACAUAGGAUAUUCCAACAUCACAUCCCAAUCCAUGACAGAAGGGAUUGCUGCAUCACCGACGACCGACCGACCAAGACUGAAAGAUAACACAUGUUGUUUCUUCCUCGCGUAACCAGCUCUAAUUAACCCCGGACAGAGCGACACUCGAGCUCGCGAUCAAAAACACCACAGGACUCAACGACACACACGACGACUCAGACUGACUGACACAGGAACUGAAGAUAACUUGCUGACGAAGACGACGAGAUGGUAGAUAGAUCGAUAACUGGAGGGCCCCGCCGCUCAGUUCCUCCACUGGCCGCCGGAGUCACCGCCACCACGCUGGCCGCCGUAGCCACCACCGCCGCCGCCGUAGCCGCCGCCGCCGCCGCCGUAGCCGCCGCCACCGCGCUGGCCGCCGUAGCCACCACCGCCCUGGCCGUAGCCGCCACCGCCUCCCUGGCCGUAGCCGCCACCGCCCUGGCCGCCGUAGCCACCGCCGCCGCCGCCGUAGCCUCCGCUACCGCCGCGCUGGCCGCCGUAGCCGCCGCCGCCGCCCCCACCGCCGGACCGGCGGGACUGGGCCUCGUUGACGGUGAUGUUGCGCCCGUCGAGCUCCUUGCCGUUCAUCUCCUCGAUGGCCUGGCGCAUCGACUCCUCGCUGCCGAACGUGACGAAGCCGAAGCCACGGGACCUGCCCGUCUCGCGGUCGUUGAUGAUCUGCACGCACGCACAAAACACAAAAACCACCAGAUCCGGUCAGAUCCACCACACAAACCCAAGAUCGGGACAGAUCUACCACACGGACAGCAAAUCGGACGCGAAAUUCCAACGGAUCUGGGAGUUGGUUGGUUGGUUACCUUGGCGUCGAGGAUCUCGCCGUACUGGCUGAAGGCCUGCUGGAGGUUGUGGUCGUCGGUGGCCCAGGCGAGGCCGCCCACGAAGCAGCGGUACUCCGUCUCCGCCAUGGAUCUCUCCCUUUCUCUCCUCUCCGAACUACGGAAACCCUAGACUAGGCUAGCUACUCUCGGACCCGAACCGAACCAGAACCCGAACCGGAAGGGGAGGAGAAGCCAACCCCGAGAGCGAUGAGGAGGACGCUGCCCCGCCGUGGGGCGAGAUUUAUAGCGGUAGGUGGCCGCCCGGAUCGCAUCACGCGCACGGCGGGGCCCACGCGUCAGCGACGGGGCGGGUGGGUGAGGAUGCGGGUCUCGGGAUUUGGAAUAUGCGGGGCCGGCCAAGUGGGAGUGGGUGGCCGCGAGAUAUUUCUCGCCCCGGCUACGCGCACGCGGGCCGCGCGCCCCACACCGCGGUGCGGCACGCCUCGAAUCUUCUUGUCCAAGGCAACAGGAAGAAAGAUCUGAAUUUGCUUUCCCCUGUAACUAACCCUAGGACAAUGCAGGAAAAUUUCGAGUUUGCUUUUUUUUUUCUAUAAAUGACCACAUCAAAUCUUGAGAAAAUUAUUCCCGGGUAUGAGCUGCAAUAAUCCCACUAAUCUUUCUAGAUGUGUGCACAAAUAUCUUUCUAGAAAUGCUUACCUUCAGGCGACGGAUCGCACACGCGAGCGAUCCGCUGCCUUCUCUGUGUGACGCGUGUACGCAUGUCCUUUUGCGUAUAUCUCUCUGCAACACCAUCUGUGUUGUAAAAUUGCCUUCCGCAACAACAACAACCAUGUUGCAAAAAAUAAAGACGAAAAAAUACUGCAGAUAUUUUCUGCAACAUUAUCUGUGUUGCAUUUUCUUUCUGCAACAACGCCCAUGUUGAAAAAUUAGUGAAGAAAAAACACCUGCAUCAUCACCUAUAUUCAAAAGAUUUAACAUGGUUUUUUUUUUUUUGCAAAGUAUCCUGCAACACUGUCCUAGAUGCAAUGGUGGAAACAACAUUGAACGUUGGAUAGUUGUACAUCUGGCGGUUGCCGAGGCGACGGAUCUUUUAGAAAGAUCCACGGCCGACGCGUAGAGCGGCCCUUUUUUUUAUUUACGUUGCAAGGUAAAUUUUUUCUUUUUUUUGAAAAACCUCGUCGUCUGCCCCUACAUGGGUCAAAUCAAAAUUGUAACCUCCAUGCGUACCACACUCAUGUGUCUGAUUUCUGUCCAGCAAUCUAUCCAGUACGUUUUGUGAUUUUGUUCUAAGUAAUGGAUGGUUGGAUGUGUACCAUUGGACACUAAUCGGACAAAGAACAUCUUAUGUGUAGCAGAGCUCAAUCCAAAGUUAGGUCACCUUCUUGAAAUUUGCUCCCUCCGUCCCAUAUUGAGUAUCGCUCAAACUAAUGUAUCUAUCCAGCUACAUUAGUUUGAGCAAAACUUAAUAUGGUAUACAUCAGUCUGAGCGAAACUUAAUAUGGGAUGGAGGGAGCUCAUGGAAGUGUGGAGUGUCUACGUACCUUGCUCCAGCCGGAACCACCACGCAACAGGUGAAAAUUGCCGGUUUGCUUCCUUGACGGCAUGGAUGUGAAAUGUCUAGUGCAAAAGAUGAGCAACCAAGGUAAUUGAAAUGUUUGUGGGUAUGCAGGCUCAUUGUGCAUGCCUCGUUGAAAAGGUGCUUAGGACAUCGUUGUGGCAUCAAUUGCUUGCAUCUCAUCCAUCAGCUUUGGGGUAGUGGGGAUGGAUGGUGGCCCAGUGAUGAUACCAGAAUUGCAGCGCCAAGCCUUUUGUGAAUAAUGUUUCUUUUAUUUACGUUAACUGGUCGUGUGGCGAAUGUAGUGGCACAUAACCUAGACAGGAACGAGUAAAAUAUAUAUGCUUUCAACCUCCCGUCACGUUCUUCUAGGAGCAGUACUAAAUGUGAAAUUUGGACGUCUAUGAACAAAAAUUGGACACAUGGCAUAUGUCUACCAACUGAAUGAGCCGAUAAGGCGAACCAACCUGUGGUUGAAUGGUUAGAGUGACUGUGGUGUAUCCCCAGUCCACCAGGAUUCAAGUCCUGGUGCUCGCAUUUAUUCUUGGAUUUAUUUCAGGAUUUUCGACGAUAUGUGCCUACAGUGACUUUGUAAAAUCUCAAGAUGGUAUGCCGGCUCAGUCUCUCGGAGGUGCUCAUAGGGAUAGGGGUGUGCGUUCAUAGGGGUGAGUGUAUGCUCGUUUAUAUGAGGGCUUGCGUCUAUAUUGUGUUAAAAAAAAUAAGCCCAUAAGAAACAUAGCACUGAUGUAAAGAUCCACUGAUAAGAAUUUGUUCAUAAUAGCAAUUUUGCUGGAGCCGGCCACCUGCACAGGCACAAAUGGAAGGGUCACGCACCACGGCACCAUCCGCCCACAGGCCAGUUCGGGCAGCGAAAGUCGGGGGACUCGGAGCAGCCGGGCAGGUCGCCGAUCCCUAGGCGCAGAGCACGUGACUUGGCCCGGGGCACAGACUGCCCCCGCACGCCCUCUCUCCUCGCCCCUAUCGCGGAGGCCCGGAGGAAAAAACAAUAAUAUCUCGGAGCGCGAAAUGACGGCCCUGCCCCUCCCCGUGAAACCCCGUCCGUCCGUCCGUCCAGCCGGAACGGAACGGGAACCGGCACGCAAGUCGGCGUCGCGGCCUCGUGGGUGGGUGUGCUUGAUCAGUCUCGCCCUGACGAUGGGACGGGAUUUGGUUAACUAAUCAGCGGCAGGACCCACCUACCUGCGGCUGCGAGCAGGGGAGGGGAGUGUGGAUCGAUUUGGAUUAGGCCGGUGAGGUGUCACUCGACGUCGCUUUCGCGUGAUGGAACGGAACGGGACGGGCGGGUGCUCGAUGAUGAUUGAUUGAUGAAUAAAAUGAAUAGAACAGGACGGGGAAUCUGUGUGCUGCAGGACAGUUUUGGAGGGAGCGUGCAGUGCAUAGCGAGUGAUGGAUCGCUGGGCGUGUGGAUGCGUGACCAGACUUUCCAUCCGGUCAAGCGGCGAUCGCAUCUUGUUCCAGCAGCUGCAGCAGGUUAAACAAACGAUUAUACGCCGCAAAAGCUAAGCAAAAAAAAAAAUUGGUGGUGAUACUUUGGAGGAAGGGCAAGGAAAAGGAAAAAAACGCGAAGCAAUAAUUUAGAGGCGGGAAGAAGAAAAGAAAUUGAGAAAAUGGCAGAAACAGAAAAUGAGGUCCCACCGAGACUUGAACUCGGGUUACUGGAUUCAGAGUCCAAUGUCCUGACCACUAGACCAUGGGACCAUUUGAUGCACAGGAAUGAAAUUUAAUUUACUUAUAUCAAGUGUCGUCCAACCCCAUUAACUGAUUCCAAAUGCAGAACCCAGCGCCAUCGGUCCAAUUAGCGAACUGUGGUUCAAAUCAGGAAUGUUUAAACUCACUUAUCUGACUUAAAAACUCUCCUGAUUUAGUCACGCAGCAAACAAUAUGUGUUUUGCCUCUGCAGAUGUCUGAUUCGUCACUUUGUCUGAACAAGGAUGCAAAUUGCAUACCCAGAUUACCUGCAUCAUCGGUACAUUAAUGUGUGAACCAGUUAGUUAGCAACAAGCUCUGCAUGCAUUUUCCUUGUACUGGGCACGGUAUCAUCCCUUCUUUCCUGAUGCCAUCCACAUUCCAAGGUGUCGUGCAAGCCAUGCGUUACAACAUCAUAGCACUUAAGGCCAUCUUCAAAGCACACCCUUAAACCGCUUGUAUCCGUCUGGACCACGGCACGGAUGUAUUUUGCCAUUCAAAGGAGAUUAUAUCGGUCCGCCGACCGAUCCGGAUGCACUUUUUCAUGCAAAUUGAAAGCAAAUUGGGGGGAGGGGGCUUUGUGGGAGUCCGGACAGCAGCCAACGUAGGACUCUGACACCCGCGGCCCACUCAAAAUCCCAUAUCGGUCCCAUUCUCUUUUCACUCCGCCCCUGCUCCCCCUUACUUUGCAUUCGCGCCCUCCUCCUCCGACGCCACUGUUGUACCUCUCCGGCCGUCAUCCAGGAAUUGUCGAACACCCGCAAUCACCACCCACGCGCCCGCUCGCCUUGUACUACGGCGUCCGUCCACCCAGGAUCCAUCCACAACCAGGUACCCCCCGCCCCCCUGUCGGAUGGUGGGGUACUCGAGCAUGGAGGAUGAGUUGUUGUUCGAUGCGUGGUUGGUUGUAUCCACGGAAUUUGUAGGCGGGAGCAGAAAGAGGCUUUUCUGCCAGAGCGUGCAUAGUUUCUUUCACGCGCGGAAGCACAUUGCGUCCUACAACAUGCACCUCAUUCAUGAACGCAAUGUGUAGUUGUUAGCGUGUCUGUGUUACAUCAUCUAGACCGCCAUCGCCAAGUUUUGUGGCUAGGUUGAUCGGCUGGAGGCAAGGUGGCCAUUUGCGAGCGGCAACCGUGGAUAUUGUAAGUUUUGUUUCUUCUUGCUCAACUUGUUAAUUGAUUUAUUCAUUCACUCAAUGUUGCUCUACACAUUGUGUAGCUACUAUGCGUUGCCAUGAUGUACCACAGGAUAGAGGGACAGCCGUUUACACACAUACACUGUUGCAUGAAGCUCAAGGGUGUGUGGGGUGAUAUGAUCCGUUAAUGAAAAACUUGUUGAACAACUGGUUAAUCUUGUUGAAUUUGAACUAUUAUUGUACUAGACUUGUUUGGAUGCCAUAUAUGGAUGAUUUGUACUAUUUUCUAUCUGAACUUUGAUGAAUUUCAUCAUGUUUUAUGCAUUUUAUCCAGUUAGUUGAAAUGCAGUUUGAGAUGUAUGCGGAUAGCGGAUGGCCGGCUCCCGCAUCCGUAUUCAUGCACUGCCCUCCUUGUCCACGGACGGAUGCGGUGUCCGGUUUGUGGGUCAGCAUUGAAGAUGCCCUAAUUGCCCAAAACUGUCAUAUUUGUAGUUAGGUUUGCAGAAAACCAUUGUAUGGAUUUUAAUUCCCUGGACGUGUCACGGUUUGACACUGUCUCCAUCCUAAGGCGAGCGGAGAUAGUGGUCUUCCCUCCGGCAAUGUGUGAGGAGAGAUAGUGAUCUCUCCUCCGUCCUUGACUUAGCUGUCCUAACAUAGAGAUGGUGUUCCUCUCAUCCCCCAUCUGGUGCAUCCCUAUGGCCUCUGCACGCACUGAUCCUCUUCGGCGUGGUGUUCAUCUUCGGCCCGAUCUUGUUGUUUUCUUUGGUGGCAGUUGUGUUUGGGCUUCUCUAGUUAGCAUCUCGGUAGUCGUUGCCCUGCAUUUCUUGCAUGUAUUAAGUUUGUAUCCUUGUAUUCAACACCACUGUAUCUCCUAGCCGGUUGAUGGCUUCAUUAAUUUAAAGUUUUUGGACUAUAUGACUUUUCUCUAAAAAAAAAGGGGCGUGCUACGCGUCGGCCGGCGGAUCUAUUUAAAAGAUCCGCCGCCUCGCGAGCCGUCCGAUCUAGAUUGCUCAACUUAGGAUCAUCUUUGCAACAAGAGUCUUGUUUCAGAAACAAUAGAGACUAUUGCAAUAAGAGCUUUGUUUCAGAAACAUAUCAGUGAUUAUUGCAACAAUAGAUCUGUUUCAGAAACAUUGGUGACGUUAAGCAUCUCUGCGUACAAUCCUUCUUUGUAGCAAGAGCUUUGUUUCAGAAACACCGUUUACCACUCCAACAAGGUCUCUGUUUCGGAAACAUGACGCGCAAGGCUGGGACUGAUCCAGCAGGGAGGGCUCCUCGACACCGACAGCGGCGACGGAGAGGCCGUGCGCUGCACCACGCGCCGCUGGAACAAUGACCGGGCCUUGCAAAUAUCAGUCACCGACGUCGGGCGGUGGCUCGCCCGAUCUAGAUGCAGGGGAGCAGCGGAGCAGCCGACUGCUCAGCCACGACAAGUGAGGCGUCGAAGGCCAGCCUCGCCGGCGAACGACGGCUACCGGAGUAGGCCGGCAGCGAGGACUGGUGUGUGGCGAGUGUCUAUUGCGGUGCUGAUUGGGGACUAAAGGAUUGGGAGAUGGGAAUAAGGUGCGAUGCUGUUGCAAAGGACACGGUGGUGGGCCACAGAGGACGUGUGGCGCACAAUCGAGGAGGCGAACGCGGGUGUGAUUAUCGGCCGGCUGAUGAGCAGCGUUUCCCCUAAAAAAAUCCUUCAAAGUUCCUAUCUGAACUUGCCCUUUAUCUGCCUUAAGCUUGAUGACCAUUUUCACUUGAUUUCAUCUUCGCAUGGGCUAACUUGAAGCCUUUCUUUCGAUGCAGACCUAUGAGAAUUAUCUAACCAAUAUAGAUAUAGGAAACAUGUAGUACGUGUUAGUUCACAAAAUGAUUCAUAAUUUCUUACCAUACCACUCAAGCCCAUGUGGUACAUAACUUGCACUUGUGAGUUGACCUCUACAGUUCAAUCUUUCAUCUUUAUCUUUACUCCACGAUCAAAGUUGAUGUCUUGAAGGUUAUUUAGAUUUGCAUAUAGCUCAUCACUGUUUCUAGUUGAUCUUGGGUGGUUCUCUACAUGAGAACCUCUGGCAUGUUGUUAGCUUCUAUAAGAGCCCAAGUUCAUCCAAAGCGGAGUUUGAUUGUGAAAAUUUUGGCCAAAACGGUAAAACACGCGCAACAAAUUUUGCACCGUCGGACAAUCCGGUCAAGUGCAUCGUUGGCUCAGAAACCUUCCAUGAGGCCAGACAGUUUGGUCAUUUUGGACCAGAUAGUCCGAGUGCACCAAAAAAAUGCCCAAUAGGAAGAUUUGGAUAUGAAAUUUCCCAUUUCUUUUGCUCUUUGUUGAUCUUAAUAUAUUCAUCAUCACAACUCAAUGAUAUUGACAUAUAUCUUGAUCUUGAUGGCAUUCAUUCCAAAACAUCCAACUUUCUUAUUGCAUCACACAUGAAACAUGUCGUCAUACAUAGGGGACGACGUAUAAUUGGAGAAAAAAGAAGACUAGUAUCAUCUUGAACGCAUUUUUUUACUGAUGUGUCCAACUUCUUUGUUCAUUAUACUGGUUUAUCAGAUCUGAAGUGUCCGUGUGUUUCCUCAAAAAACCAAAUGUUGCUUUACACGUCAUUGCAAAUACCUUAAUCUCCACCAAGGAUAAUUAUUAUUGGCCUUUUCUCCAGACCCAAGUAAUGUCGUUUUGGGCUCGCACUUCCCCUUGGACCCGGGCAUGGACAGCCCGGCCCAAAAUCCCGACAUCUCGGCCGGGUUCGGGCUUAGCUUUUCCGCCCGAAGCCUGGCUUGAAAGCCCGAAAAAGCCAAAAAAGGCAUUAAUCACUAUUUUAUUACAAAUAUAGGUAUAGUAAAUCAUUUAAAUAUCCAAAAAUUAAUUAUUUUAAUUUAAAAAAGUAACUGUUCAUGCAUUUUGGGCCGGGCCGGGUGAGCUCGGGCUUGAGAUUUCUAGAUCGGUCUUGACAAAGCCCGGUCCGACGAAUGCCCAGGUUUACUUUCCCUCAAGGCAAAGCAAAAGGGACACUUGUCUCAUAAAAAAAACAAAAACAAAAGGGACACGUAUUUCCCCAAACCCGCCUUCCUACGAGUGCCGCCGGGAGUCGCACUAACAACCACGCCCUCACUCACUGGCGACCUGUAACAGAAACAGAACAGAAAGAUUCUCUCUCAAGUCCGGCCGGCGGCUAAACCCAAACCCCCGAGCCCGAUGUCGCCGGCGGCGACGCGCAUCCUGCUCGCGGGCGCCCGGCGCCGCGGCCGCGGCCUCUCCACGUCGGCCGAGCCCUCCCCCUCCCCCUCCCUGUCCCCCUCGCAGCUCCCGAGGGGCAAGCGCUGGGACGCGGUGGUGAUCGGUGGCGGCCACAACGGGCUCGCGGCCGCGGCCUACCUCGCGCGCGCCGGCCGCUCCGUCGCCGUUCUGGAGCGGCGGGGCGUCCUCGGCGGCGCCGCCGUGUCCGAGUCGGACCUCGUCCCCGGCUUCCGCUUCUCCCGCUGCAGCUACCUCCUCAGCCUCCUCCGCCCCGCCCUCAUCCGGUAACGCGUCUCCCGAUCCCCUCCUCUUUCUGCGAUCGAUCUCAACCUCCAUUUCCAUCGGAUUUACUUACAAACCGGGCCCCUGUUCCGUACCUGCAUUCUGAAAUUCUGUGAGGAUGUAUGUACUGAAGAACUGAUGCUUAUGCUACUGCUACUGCUACUGAUGAUGGAUGAUUCAGGGAGCUGGAGCUGGAGAGGCACGGGCUGAAGCUCCUGCCGCGGAGCCCGUCGUCCUUCACGCCGUGCCUCGACGGCCGGUACCUGCUUCUCGGCCCGGACGCGGAGCUGAACCGCUCCGAGAUCGGCAAGUUCUCCAAGAAAGAUGCAGAGGCAUACCCGAGGUGACAGACAGACAGACAGACACAUUCAGAAUGCGCAGUGGUUUCUUUCCUUGUGCGUUUCAGGUUGGAUUGAUCUUUACACUAGCAAUGGUUUUGAUGUGUGAAUGUAGGUACGAGGAGCAGCUAGAGAAGUUCUGCAAGCUCAUGGACUUCGUCAUAGACUCGCCUCCCCCGGAGCUGAGGCAGCUGUACCAUGCUUCCAUGGUCGACAGGAUGAAGGAUAAGGUCGACAAGUCAGUGUUCUGGAGCAAGCUUCUUGGCAUUGUGAUGCAACAGGGGCAAAAGGACAUGGUGUGAGUACUAAAUACAUCACCCCUCUUAGUGAUGCUACUGUUGCAUACAUUUGCGAACAAUGCAGUGUGUAAAGUUGAAUCUUUUUUACACUGGCAGGAACUUCUUCGACCUUCUUCUGUCGCCAGCAUCAAAGAUCUUGAAUAACUGGUUUGAGGUUGAAAGCUUACUUCCCUCUUAUCUGAAACACUUCUCUUCUGUCUUCACAAUGAUCAUAUGGAGAAAGCUGUAUUGCAUCUGACUAUCUACACAUGUCGGAUGAGAAUAACUUCUUUAGUUCUUGUGCUGACCGCUCUAGUACUACAGGGUGAUGUAUUGAAGGCGACCCUGGCGACCGAUGCUGUGAUAGGUACUAUGGUAAGGGUGCAUUGCUUAAUCCACAUUUUGUUGCGCCUAAUGGAUUAGUGUUUGACCAUUGCGUCUCCUUGUAUAGGCUGGUGUGAACACUCCAGGAUCAGGAUAUGUUCUCCUGCACCACAUCAUGGGGGAAACUGGUGGUCAACGUGGUGUUUGGGCGUAUGCUUCUGACCAUAUCCAUGUUAUUCUGUUCCACCAUAAAACAGUGUAGUUAGCAAAAACCCACAGGAUAAUGUAGCCUUGAUUGUUCUACACUUGAAACGGAAUUAAGGAUUGCUGGUGUUUAUCUCCACUGGCUAGGAAACAAGUUUUCAGUUGCCUUAGAGUCAGUUUCAAGGGGUGAUGUCACAGAAAAUGUCAUCACACUCUACCCAAAUUUGUUGGUGUUGCCACUUUUAGUUCUUUAUUUAGUUGGUGUCUUCAUUUACCUUUCUUUCUCUUUUUCAGAAAACCUUUCAUUAUUUUUUUUUUCACUUGCAGGUAUGUCGAAGGUGGUAUGGGUUCAGUCUCAUCAGCUAUAAGCAAAGCAGCCCUCGAAGCAGGUGUGCAAAUUGUAACAAAUGCUGAGGUGCAUUUUCUCUUCUUGUGAAAGCCCUCUUUGUUCCAUGUCGAUCAUGUUUGGCUGAACAAAUGAUUAAAAUCAAAGCAGAUCAGAGAAAAAAACCUGGGUUUUACAUCGAAGAAGUCAUUAAUUAUGUAGUCGCAUAAUUAUAAUUGUGCGACCAAUUUUUUAUUUGGCGUUUCUUGCCUCACUUGCCCCAGUUUUUUUUUUUGCAUAGGUUUCGCAAGUAAUGGUCGAUGAAAAUACUGGAAAGGUGCAAGGGGUAAGUCUUGGACUAAUCAGCAAGUGUAUGUGCACUGUGUAGUUCAUUUCUUUCUACCUCUUGAAGGUUUGAGAAUCUGUAGGUUGCUUUGGUUGAUGGAACCGAGUUGCACUCAUCAGUUGUGUUAUCAAAUGCCACACCAUAUAAAACAUUUGUGGUAAGAAUCACUCUGAAUACGUAGCGGUGUGAAGAUUUUUUAGCUCUAAUUUUGCAGGCAUAAUUAGAAAAUAUCCUCUAAAUUGACACCUGGUUUUAUUUGCAGGACCUUGUGCCUGCCAAUACUCUUCCAGAGGAGUUCCUCUGUGCCAUCAAGACAGCAGAUUAUAGCUCCGUAAGUACUUAGUUACUAGCUUAUUUAAAUAAAGGAAUUACAUUGGUGGUGUGCAUUCUUACAAAUAUCUAUCUAUACAAUAUACGAUGAUAACCUUGUUCAUUUACUUGUAUAGUCUAGCUAUUAUCCUCGCAUUUCAUUAGUAUGGAUGCCAAAGUUUUCUCAAGUAAAUAGAACUCGUGAUUGUGGGAAACAGACUAUUCAUAGCAAUGUUAUAUAGCAUCUGAAAAUUCUUACGUGCAAAGCUAUUUAUGGUCCACAUUGACUUUCAGUAACCAACUUGUAAUAUUGUUGCUAACUAUGCUCUCUGGAGAACAGGCAACAACGAAGAUCAACGUUGCUGUUAAUGCGCUGCCACAGUUUCACUGUUGCAAAAACAUCAACCCUGAAGGUGGCCCGGAGCACAUGGGCACCAUACACAUUGGAUCUGAAAGGUACUUAAGUUAGGGAAUAUUUCCUACGUCGGCACAUAUUUAUCAACUGUGUCCAUUGUUCUUCUGCAUAUCUGUGGACAAGCAACAAUCUACGAGACACUGUUUGUUAUCUUGGUCCUGUUCAUGUAUAGUAGGGCAAGGAAAAUAAUCUCUUAAUUCAACAUUGUCACUCUUCAAUAGGAAAUUCUGCUGUUUACAUUUAGUGUUCCUUGCUUGUCAUGUCAACCUGAUGCACCAACUUGGUAGCCUACAUCUAUGUAUCGAAGUAUAUGUUAUUGCCAGUACCUCAGGAUAAUAAAGAGCAUAGUCUGGCCAGGCUAAGCAGUCAUAAGAUGUCCGAGUUGUGGAUUAGCGCUUUCAUUCUUCUAAGGAAAAAGCUAGAUCAUCUGGCAAAUCAAUUCUUUUGUGUGAGACGAUUUUUGUAUAAUUCAGCAGUCACUUUUUCAGACUUAAGCCUUGUUAUAUCUCAAUAUGGAACUUUUACUUGCUCUUCAGCAUGGAGGAAAUCGAUAUAGCAUACAAGGAAGCUGCAGGCGGCUUCUCAUCCACAAGGCCUGUUAUAGAAAUGACAAUUCCUUCAGUCUUAGAUAAGACCAUCUCUCCACCAGGUAUGUCACUUUCUUUUGCUUCCCCAUAAUUUCAUCUGAGUAAGUUUACUAUUCUGCAAUAUUUAAUUAUAAGGAACCUGUUCUAUGCACACUAAAUUUACAUUUUAGAGUUAAUGUGUUGAAGGUCAUUUUCGAUGUUUAUAAUGUUGUGAUCUCCCAUAUUGUGUAUAUACUUCACAUGGACUUAUGGACUGACUCGUAUUCCAUCUUUCACUUUAUCCUUUGGAUAGGUCAGCAUGUUAUUAAUCUGUUUGUUCAGUACACACCCUACAAACUGUCAGAAGGCAGUUGGCAGGAUCCGGCUGUUAGAGUAAGUUGACCCUUCUUACAUUUUGAUUUCGUGAUGCACUGUAUGUUUAAUCUUUGCCCAAACACAAAUGAAAUAAAUGAUAAAAUUGAUAACCUUGCCCUUGGGCAUUGUGAUCCAUCACUGUGUGGAGAGAAUGAUUUUUCUGUAAUUAGAUCCACCUACCGACCAUUGACCAUUCUGAUCGACACCAAUUUUCAGAAAUCAUUUGCUGAGAGAUGCUUUUCCUUGAUCGAUGAGUAUGCACCGCACUUUAGCUCAUCAGUGAUAGGCUAUGACAUGCUGACUCCACCUGAUCUUGAAAGGGAGUUUGGCCUAACAGGUAAUAUCCCUUGGUAUUAUGUAUUGUCUUUUGUAAGCUGUGUGCCCGCAGACCGGAUACCGCUUUGUAUUGUUCCUUCUUACCAGUUGAAAACCUUAGCUAAGCAGAGACGAUUCACAUUUCUCAGGGGGCAACAUCUUUCAUGGCGCGAUGGGCUUGGAUUCCCUCUUCCUGAUGAGGCCUGCUAAGGGAUGGUAUGUUCGAGUCACAUGCAUAUUAAGUUGUGCUCUGGCCUCUUCUACUACACAACCUUUGGUCCUUCUAAAGUUCAGAACUCUUGCCUUUGUGAUCAUGGCUAACCUGUUUUCGCUUUGCACCUUACAGGUCAGAUUACAGAACCCCUGUGAAGGGGCUGUACCUCUGCGGCAGCGGUGCGCACCCAGGCGGCGGGGUGAUGGGUGCCCCGGGCCGCAAUGCUGCUGCCGUGGUUUUGGAUGAUCUCAAGGCAAGAUAGAUGCAAUUAAUGGAAGAUGGAAAUGGCAGCUGACACUAGGGUAGCAUUUUCAAGCACAAGGCUGCAAAAGCAGCACCAGUGUGUAAUCUCUUGUACGGAAAUGCAAACCUUGUCGUUAAGCCAUCUGGUAGAGACCAUUUUGUCAUGCAUACUUACAUGAUAAAAAAGAUGAGACAUGAGAAGCAUUUUCUGAAUGAAUUGUUGCAGCUGUUCUCAUUUUGGCUCUCUUAUCGGAGGGCUCAAAGGGAUUAAUUCUCAGUUAUGCGGUUACAUCUAUUUUCUUCUGUACGAAGUAGUUUCUCAAUGCAGUCUGCCGAACCUUCAAUUUGGUUAAAUGUGAAGAGGAGUAGAGUUUGCGAAGUAUAGUUAGAUAUUAACUGUGAGUGCUAUGCUCAUCUGUACAUUUGAACUGCCAUCCAGUAAUCUGUGUCGCCUAGCUUGUCUGCAGACUUGAACUGCGACCUAGGUACCUUGUAUAGAGUAAAUGAAUUCCAGUGUCACUACUUUCUAAUCUUUUGGUUUCCUCCAAUAUCCCAGGCUGUUCGUUAUACUGAUUUCACGUUUGUGAAUCUCAAGUCUUAAUAAGCCCUGAAUGGGGGUGUUUAUACAACGGACAUCCAUGAACUUCUCACCCUUCUUCAUGCAAUUGUCAUCAUUUUCUUCUUCUCGUCCCGCAAGAGGAAAUAAAACAUGCAUAUAGAAUGAUCUCAUGUUUUUGCAGCGCUUAUUGCAUGACGGAAGAGACUGUAACAGAAACCUGGCUCUUGAAUGAUUUGCCCAACACUCAUCGCAAGGACUUCUCGCUGUUCCUCAUGCGAUUGACAUUAGACUACUCACACAUGAAGUUUUCACUAUUUUUUCUUCUCUUCCUGCAAGAGGAAACAAAACGUGUACUCAUAUGAUAAAAGAGAGACAAUAACACGCUUCUUGAAUGACUUGAUCAAUACACUUAUUGCAUGCCUUGCUAACAAUGUUGCAUUGUUAAUGCCAUAUAUCCAGCUUAUAUCCAGCUGCCUUAGAAUCUGGGUGUCAAAGGUCCAAUGUCGUAUCGUUAGUAUGUUUCCUUCUGUUUUAGUGUCCGGUCUAUGGGAUACUCUAGAGUGAAAUAUUGGAGGAAAACAAAAUAUAUUGGUAUUUCCUGAUAUACUCCUGCAUUACCAAAAACCUUGGAUUCAUCAACCCCAACCCGAUCGCAGCCGCAUUCCUGUUCGCAAUGGAGCUCGCCUUCAGUCACUUCGCCGUCACAGCGGCGACUGUUGUAUUCAGCAGCACCAUUUGGCAGCUCUGCCACACCCCAGCCUUCCUCCCGCUAAAGCGCCACACAAUCUAGGCAAUACACACUGGGCCGCAUUGGAAUCAAUCAUCUUCGCCGGAGAGGCACGACACUCGGAGGAGCGUCUAGCACACACCACUAUGGGUCGGGCCUUCCUGGUGGGAGGCAAGGAGAUGAAAACAUCCGUGACAUCUUGUGCGAGCUUGUUCAGAUGUCCGUUCUCACUUUUUGUGGCUAAAUGCCCAUCGUGAAGGUUGGCAAUAUGCUCACCAACUCGCAAAGCCAUGCCGGACUAUCAGACCAGUUCGAGCUUAGCGACGGAGUAAACCUGCCAAGCUACCAAGCAUAUAUAUAACAUCAAGGGGGAUCCACUUUCCUAUGAUCUGGUUGUACACAUAUCCGCAAUGACACUCAACCUUCUCCAAGCAUUCACGAGGGCAUUUAGUAUAGUAGGGCAAGGAAAAUGAUCUUUUAAUUCAAUGGUGCCACUCUUCAAUAGCAAAUUAUACUGUUUACAUUUAGUGUUCCUUGCUUGUCAUGUCAACUUGAUGCAGUGAUUUGUUAACUUAAAUCUAUGUGUUGAAGUAGUUAAUGUUUUUGCUAGUACCUUAGGAUAAUAAAGAGCAUAGUCUGUCCAUGCUUAGUUAUAACAUGUCCAAGUAGUAGAUCAGCCUUUGCAUUCUUCCUAAGGAAAAAGCUACAUCAUGAUCUGGCCACUUAUUCUAUUGCGUGAGAUGAUUUUUGUAUAGUUCUGCAGUCACUUCUUCAGACCAAAUCCUUGUCACAUUUCAACAUGGAACUUUUACUUGCUCUUCAGCAUGGAGGAAAUCGAUGUAGCAUAUAAGCAAGCUACAGAUGGUGUCUCAUCCACAAGGCCUGUAAUAGAAAUGACAAUUCCUUCAGUCUUAGAUAAGACCAUCUCUCCACCAGGUAUGUCAUUUAUUGUGGGCAGUCUGGAAUUGCAGAAAUGAUUUGGUUUUUAACAGGACAACAAACAUUUAUUUUUUGCAGGUUAUUUUCCGAGCCACGGCGUUGAUCCGUUUGUGGUCGCUACUCACUCCGACGGAGGCCAGGGAGCGUUUGGUUACUGGAUCUAUCCGCUGGGAGACGAUAGCACGGGAUAUCUUCAACCGGUUUGAAUGGCGGUCAUGUAAUAGGAUAGGCAAUUAGUUUACCUAUCUCUCUUUUGCCAGCCGGUUGUGGCGUCCUUUAUAUGGCUAGUUUGUCCUUUAGCCCUUUUAGCUCGGUGUGAGCUCUUCUUUAAUUUCGUUUUGAGACUUUAAGACCUUGUUUGAACCUAUUUAUUUGUUUAAUAAAAUGGCCGUAUGCAUCGUUCUGAUGCAGAGGCCGGGGAGUCCCCCCUUUUCGAAAAAAAAAUGUCAUUUUUCUUCUGCUUCCCCAUAUCUGAAAUUUUGUAAAUUUACUACCAUGUUAUAUUUAAUUUCACUACCCCGAUGAAGCAAGAAAUGUACAUGGAACCUGUCCUAUGUAAACUACAUUUACAUUUUAGAGGUCACUUUGCAUGUUUUGAUUUCUCGUAUUGUCUAUAUACUUAAGGUGCAGUUAUGGACCGACUCAAAUUCCAUCUUCCACUUUAUCCCGUGAGCAGGUUAGCAUGUUAUUAAUCUCUUUGUUCAGUACACACCUUACACACUGUCAGAAGGCAGUUGGCAGGAUCCGAAUCUUAGAGUAGGUUGAUUCGCCUUACGUUUUAGUCUAAUGAUGCACUGUGUGUUUAAUAUUUGCACUUCACCACAGCCCACACUUCUUGCUGUAUAUACUGCCCCACAAAUACUAUUUACUCAUACCUUAAAAGAGUAAACGAUGAUGCCCUUGCCCUAAGGCAUUGUGAUCCGUCACUGUGCGGAGAGAACUAUUUAUCUGAAUUUGUGUCCACCUACCGAUCAUUGACCAUUUUGAUCGAUACCAAUUUUCAGAAAUCAUUUGCUAAAAGAUGAUUUUCCUUGAUCGAGGAGUAUGCACCGCACUUUAGCAAAUCAGUGAUAGGCUACACUUCUGCUUCGGUAGACCCCCUCUAAACACAAGGACGGCUCAGAUUAGCCCAUACCUCUUCAUAGAAAGGGACAUGAUAGUCAUAUUUAUAAAUUCUUCGCCGUACAUAUACGCUAAACAUUUUUUUUAGUCCAUGAAUGAACGCGCACAUCCUCCCGCGAUGGACCGGCCCAUGCAUCAUGUUUUUUUAUUUUCUAAAACAGCAAAAAUAAGUAUGUGCCACAGAGGAUUCGAACCGCACUCCAGCAGUAAUUAGCACAAGCGCAAUAACCAACUGGGCAACCGAACAGCUUGUGGUAGAUAUAUUGUUUUGACUAAAAAUAGAACACAGGAAAAGCGCACUAUAUCCUGUUUGGUUUUCUUUUCCUCUUUAUUUUUCCUUUUCUUUAUUUCUUUCCCUUUUCUUUCUUAAAUGCGUAAACAUAUUUAAAUUCGUGAAUUUUUCUUCAAAGUGGGUGAACUUUUUUCUCCAAAAAUGGUGAAGUUUUUUUCCCAAAUUCCUGAACUAUUUCUCAAAUCAGUGAUUUUUUUUAAAAAAUAUUGAACUUUUUACAAAAGUGAUGAAUUUGAUUUUAAAAAUCAAUGAACUUUUUUUCAAAAUCGAUAAACUUUUUUUCUAAUUUGUGAACUUUUCCGAAAAUUGAUGAAGUCUUGUUUUACUUUUUCUGAUCAAUGAACUUUCUUAAAAUCCAGUGAACUUUUUAAUUUUUUUUGUGAACUUUCUUGAAUUCCUAAUUAUUUAUUUUAAAAAUUAUCUAAAGGUCAAUAAUCAAGUUGUAAUUAAACUCCCUCCUCUUUCUUAAUGAGUGUUCUUUGAAAUUCAUCUUGGAUGCUUGGCAUGGUGAUACUAGUGUGUGGAACAAAUUCGAGUCCAUUUUAUUGAUGUGAAAAAGUGCAUCCAACCAGCCUACCCGAACCAUCACCUUUGAACAUGAUAUGCUUCUUGCCAUGCACGAAAUGACACCAAAACUUGUCAGUAUGUGGCCAUGCUCAUGGUUGGCCUUCAUGCAAAAUUUGAAGGAAUUCGGACACCUAACACACACUGUGUCACGUUCGGUUAGUAUUUUAGGAUUUUUUUCAUGGGAAAACCUUAGUAAAUGCAUAAAAAGUCAGAACUCAAUGAAAUUUAUCAUGGAUGCUUUGCAUGGUGAUGUUAGUGUUUCGAAGAAAAUUGGUUUCAUUUUAUUGGUGUGAAAUAAAAGUUCAACCAGACUUGCCCUACCGGCCUACUCAAACCCCACCUUUGAACAUGGUGUGCUUCUUGCCAUGCAUGAAAUAACACCAAUUUUUGCCAGCAUGUGAGCAUGCUCAUGGCAGGCCUCCAUAAAAAAUUUGAAGAAAUUUGGACACCGAACGCUCGUUGUGUCACGUUCGGCUAGUGUUUUAGGUUUUUUUUCACUAGGAAAACCCUAGAAAAUGUAUAAAAGGUCAGAAUUCAAUGAAACUUAUCAUGGAUGCUUGACAUGGUGAUACUAGUGUGUGGAAAAAAAAUUGGGUCAAUUUUAUUGAUGUGGGCAUUUUUUGAAAGAAAAAGAAUGAAGAACGAAAAACGAAAAACAACAAGAAUGAAAAGAAACAAAAAAGAACAGUAAACCGGUCGUUGAAUGAUUUAGUUUCAUUUUCCUUUUUCUAUUUAAUAGAUGCUCAGAAAUUUUAAAAGUGUCCGAUUCUUUUAUGUGAGCAUAUUCCUAUUUAAACGAACAAUAAACAAACAUUUUUGUUUAAACGAACAAUUUUUCUAUUUAAUAGAUGUUCAGAAAUUUAAUCAUAUUGAUGUGAGCAUUUUCUAUUUAAACAAACAAUUUUUUGACAUAUCUGUAAAAUUCUCUUGAAAUGCGAAUAUCUGUACUUUAUGAACAAAAUUUUAAAAAGCGAUUUAAAAAAAAAUAAGUGUGAGAAUUUUUAGAAAAUAAAAAAGAAACAAAAAUGAAAAAAGACAAAUAGAAAAAACGAAAAAGAAAUAGUAAUAACAGUACCAAUUCAACAAUGGGCCGGCCUAGCCGCGAACUGAAGUAGAAGAAAAUAAAAAAAGAAGUAAAAACAGCCAAACAUUAGGUUGUUCUAGUUGGUUAAUGUGGUCUUCCUUAGACCAAGAGGUCUUGAGUUCGAUACAAGGUGCCUGCACUAUUUUUUGAAAUUUAAUAAAAAGUGGGUAUGAUGUCUCGUAUGUGUCACAUAAGCGUAUGAGUAUACGGUUUGAUGAAAUGACUAUACCGCCCUUAUACGGUUUGUGGAGGGGGUUCUACCGAAGCAGGCCUCGAUAGGCUAUGAUAUGCUGAGUUGCUGAGCCCGCCUGAUCUUGAAAGGGAGUUUGGUCUAACAGGUAAUCUCUCUUGGUACUAUGUAUAAAUUUGUCUUUUGUAAGCCACACACACACGCAGACCGGAUACCAUUCUGUAUCAUUCCUUCCUUUUACCAGUUGGAAUUUUUUAAAGGAGAGACGAUUCACAUUUCCCAGGUGGCAACAUCUUUCACGGCGCGAUGGGCUUGGAUUCCCUCUUCCUGAUGAGGCCUGCCAUGGGAUGGUAUGUUCGAGUCACAUGCAUAUUAAGUUGUGCUCUGGUCCCUUCUGUUUCACAACCUUUGAUUCUUCUAAGGUUCAAAACUCAUGCCUUUGUGAUAAUGGCUAACCUGUUUCUCUUUGCACCAUACAUGUCAGAUUACAGAACCACUGUGAAGCGGCUCUACCUCUGCGGCAGCGGUGCGCACCCAGGCGGUGGGGUGAUGGGCACCCCGGGCCGCAACGCUGCCAUUUUUUUAGAAAAGGAGGAGGACCCCCGGCCUCUGCAUCUGGGCGAUGCAUGCGACCACUUUAUUAAUUAUUCUUACAAGACCUUAUAAAGUCAUACAACGGUAAGACUAAAGCCACCGUCUAAGCAACAACUGUCGCUACACCUAUCCAAUUGAUGAAGGGGCGCUGAUAGUCUGGGCCUAAUACCAAACAAACAUCGCAACCAGACCUAACAUCUAAGACCUGAGGUCCCCAACCAGGAUGCCUGCCGGGUAUGGGCACCCACCAGUCCGGCGUGCUCCUCAACCAGGACGCCUGCCGGGUAUGAGGCCGCCGCCGCCACUUGCCACCAACCCAUUUUCAGAGCUGUACUGCUGCAUCAACCUUGCCCGGUCUAGCUGCCGCCGACGCCACCACGACGCCAGACAGCCUCGACCUCCUGCGCGUGUCCAUCACCACACAUCUGACGCCAAGCCUCCGCUGCUCCAUGCCGCCAAGAGCCGCCGCCAUGAAUAUGUGGAAAGAAACACCGCUCCACCGAAGAAGCCAUCCACUGGUCCCUCGAGCCCGAGUGCAUCUCCAAGAAUGCCGCCCCCAAGGGGGUAACGACACAUGAAUGCCACCGUCAUCCGAUCAACUGAUCUAGGGUUUCCCUCGGAGGUAUUGGGUGGGUUUGGGAUUUGUACCUCGAUGAUGCCUUCAUGAAGGAAACGAUGAUAAGGGCAUCGUCAUCACCGGCUCCGGCCAACGACCGAAGACCAAGUUUUCACUCGGAUCCGUCUCAAGAAAUUCACCCGACAACCUAUGCACUGUCUCGACCGCCUUCAAAGCCCCAGAUCUAGCCGCCUAGAUCCGGCGAUCAACCACAAACAACAGUGCCACCGUAGGAGCCCUGGCACACCGGCCACCUCAACCGCAACCGCAACGCUGCUGCCAUGGUUUUGGAUGAUCUCAAGGCAACAUAGAUGUAACUCAUGGGUCUGGCACUAGAGUAGCAUUUUAAGCACAAGGCUGCAAAAGCAAGAGUACCUGUGAUGCUGUAAUCUCUUGUAGCAGAAUGCGAGCCUUGUUGCUAAGCCAUCUGGUAGAGACAUGUUUAUCAUGCGUACUUACAUGAUAAAAAUGAUGAGUCAUGAGAAGCAUUUUCUGAAUGAAUUGCCUGUGUAACUAUUCUUGUUUUGGUUUUCUUAUUGGAGGGCUAAAAGAGAUUAUUCUCAGUUAUGAAUGAAUUGACUGUGUAGCUAUACUCAUCUUUUGCUUUCCUCUCUGAGACUGUUUGGUUCGGUAAUACUGAUUUCACCUUUAUGAAUCUCAAGUCUUGAAUAUGGCCAGAAUGGGAGUAUUUGUACAACGGGCAUCCAUGAGCUUCUCACCCUUCUUCAUGCAAUUGACAUUAAACAGCUCAUUUCGUGAAGUUUUCACUAUUAUUUUCUUCUCUUCCUGCAAGAGGUAACAAACACAUGCAAAUGGAAUGAUCAUAUGAUUUUGCAGCGCGUACUCACAUGAUAAAAGAGAGAUAAUAGAACGCUUCUUGAAUGACUUGCCAACACAGUUGCCACAUGCUUAGCUAACCAAAACAACGUAUAGCCCUAUAUAUACCCACUUGCCUUAUGAAUUAGUAUGUUAAAGGUCCAAUGUUGUAUCGUUAGUAUUUUUUUCUAUUUAAUUGUCAAGUCUAUGGGAUACCCUGAAAUGAAAUAUUAGGCGAAAACAAAAUAUAAUGGUAUUUCCCCAAUCAGCGCCAUGGUGCACGCCACCAACCAUGCCGCCCUUGCAGCGUCGACCAUUGUAUCCAGCAGUGCAGUCUUGCAACCCGGCCAUGCCCCGUCCUUCCUCUGGCUCCGGCGCCUACACAAUCUGCGAUGUCUAUGCCAUGCAGUAGUCGGAGCAGCCCGCCGCUGCCUCGUGGCAGCAAAGACCUUGUGGGAGCCAGAUAUGUCAGCAAUCUCGCCACUGAAACUGGCGUCCUGUGUAGUGCUGGAAAGGAGGACCAUGGAGAGCUGGAAGGCGAAUAAGGCGCUGUAGCUGCCAGAGUACCAAGCGGCCAGGAGCUAGAGUCGACGGUGUUCGGCGGAGUGGCUUGACACCUGGUGGAGCGUCCAAUGGACGCCGAAGCUGGGUCUUCCUUGUUGAUUGCGCUAAGAGCUUCAAGAGUUCAAUGGUAACAACAUCCGUGAGAAAACAUUUGUGACACACCUUCUCACUCAGAUGUUGGUGGUCCUCACCUUUCGCGGCCAAAUGACCGUCAUCAAGUCGGGAGAACACUGGACAAUUCGCAAAGCCGAGUUUGGACCUCUUUGAGGUUAGGGAUGGUGUCAAGCUGUUGAGCUACCGAGCGGACCAGGAGGGUAUACUGCCAUGUAGUGGGUCACGCAGUGGAACCUCGAUUUCACUAUAGUUGGGCUAACAUGUAUUGGACCACAUGUGGAGUACUGAAUUCUCAACCUCUUCCUAAGAAGAAUGGGAAUGAUAUGCGACCAGGGACGGACGAAAUCACCCUUUUGACCUUUUUUCCUAACUUAAUCAAGAAUUGACCCCAUUUACAAAAGAAUUUCGAAUUUGACCUUUUUUGGUCACGCCAACAUCCCUGGCGUUUGGCUUGCACGGGAGACGCCAGGAAUGAUGGCGUUUGGGCCUGGCCCACACUUGUCCAACCGGAGCUUGGCGUCCUUCCUCCUGAGAAUGCACCGCACUUUAGCUCAUCAAUUAUAGGCUGCACCUCAUCUUUCACGGUGCAAUGGGCUUGGAUUCCCUCUUCCUAAUGAGGCAUGUCAAGGGAGGCAUGUCCCAGUCACAUGCAUAUUUAGUUCUUUGGCAACCUUUGACCCUUCUAAGGUUUAAAAAUCAUGCCUCUGCUGAUCAUGGCUAACUUGUUUUUGCUUUGCACCAUACAUGUCAGAUUACAGAACCCUUGUAAGAUUUGUGAUGCAUGAGAGAUGGUCACUGAACAUUUGUUCAACCAAUUUAGUUGGUGGCCUAGUAGGAUUUGUGAUGCAUGAAGCUCAUUUUCCUUCAUCUUUUUCAUUGCCCUUGAGGUAGCCAUAUGGCAUUUUAUCUAUUUGUUGAGUAUAUUAUGUACGUGUAUAUUGUGUAUAAGGCCCACAUUCUGUUUUCACUGUAUAGUUGAGUUGUGCCCCCUGUACUCAUAUAUACAUGCCUGGUGCACCGAUUAAUACAUCGCGAUUGUACAGCCCACAACUUGUCCUUCUACACGGUAUCUAUUGCAGCACGAUCCUAAACCCUAAGCCGCCGCCGCGCCUCUACGCGCCGCCGCCACCGCUUCUCCCCGCCGCUGCCACCAGCCGUCGCCGCCGCCGCCGUCCUCUCGGUAGCCGCCGCCGCUAGUCGCCGCCGUCUCCCACCACCGCGCCUUUCGCCGCAGCUGCGGCCUCUCCAAGCCGCCGCAGCCGCCGAUCGCCGCCUCGCUUCCGCUCCCUCCCGCCACCCGUGCCGCACCAUCCCCGCGCCGCAACCACCUCCCACCCGCGUCGCUCUCCCGCGCCGCGACCACCUCCCACUAGCGCCGCUCCCGCGCCGCAGCCCCCCGCCACCCCACCCCGCGCUGCUCCCGCGCCGCACCACCUCCACCCCGCGCCGCGCCACACGUCGCAACCCCUAACACUAGCCAUGAGUUCCUCCUCCUUCACCGUCUCCAACCCGUUUGCCGGUCCCGAUGUCACUCUCGUCCGCGACCUCAACAUCCACGAGCGCGUCCCGGUGAAACUUAAUCAAUCCACCGCCUCCUACUCCGCUUGAAAGCGGUAUUUUUCGCUGGUGUUCCGCGAGUACCUCCUUCAUGGCCACGUCGACGGCACCGCGGACUCGGCCCUCAUGAUCCAUGACGAGGAGUGGAUGAUCCUCGACGCCACCAUCAUCCGUUGGUUCUACCUCACCAUCUCCACCGACCUCUUCCACACCGUGGUGGAUGACGAAGACGAUGCCUACGCCGUCUGGACCAAGCUCAAUGGCCUCUUCACCGACAACAAGCUUCAGCGCAAGGUCCUUCUCCACGACGAGUUUUACGGGUGCCAGCAUCUUGACUCGUCCAUCGAUGAUUUUUGCAUGCGCCCGAAAAGCUUGCCGAUGACCUCCGCGAUCUCGGGGAGACGGUUGGCGACGAGCUCCUCAUCAGCACCCUCACCGCCGGUCUCAACGAGGAUUUUGGGAACGCCGCCUCCUGAAGGAAAUAUGCCCUAGAGGCAAUAAUAAAGUUAUUGUUUAUAUUUCCUUAUAUCAUGAUAAAUGUUUAUUAUUCAUGCUGGAAUUUUAUUAACCGGAAACUUGAUACAUGUGUGAAUACAUAGACAAAACAAAGUGUCCCUAGUAUGCCUCUACUUGACUAGCUCGUUAAUCAAAGAUGGUUAUGUUUCCUGACCAUAGACAUGUGUUGUCAUUUGAUGAACAGGAUCACAUCAUUAGAGAAUGAUGUGAUGGACAAGACCCAUCCGUUAGCUUAGCAUUAUGAUCAUUGUGUUUUAUUGCUGUUGCUUUCUUCAUGACUUAUACAUGUUCCUCUGACUAUGCGAUUAUGCAAGUCCCGAAUACUGGAGGAACACCUUGUGUGCUAUCAAACGUCACAACGUAACUGGGUGAUUAUAAAGAUGCUCUACAGGUGUCUCCGAAGGUGUUUGUUGGGUUGGCAUAGAUCGAGAUUAGGAUUUGUCACUCCGUGUAUCGGAGAGGUAUCUUUGGGCCCUCUCGGUAAUGGGCAUCACUAUAAGCCUUGCAAGCAAUGUGACUAAUGAGUUAGUUGCGGGAUGAUGCAUUACGGAACGAGUAAAGAGACUUGCCGGUAACGAGAUUGAACUAGGUAUGAUGAUACCGGCGAUCGAAUCUCGGGCAAGUAACAUACCGAUGACAAAGGGAACAACAUAUGUUGUUAUGCGGUUUGACCGAUAAAGAUCUUCGUAGAAUAUGUAGGAGCCAAUAUGAGCAUCCAGGUUCCACUAUUGGUUAUUGACCGGAGAUAUGUCUCGGUCAUGUCUACAUAGUUCUCGAACCCGUAGGGUCCGCACGCUUAACGUUCGAUGAUGAUUUGUAUUAUGAGUUAUGUGAUUUGAUGUACCAAAGGUUGUUCGGAGUCCCUGAUGAGAUCACGGACAUGACGAGGAGUCUAGAAAUGGUCGAGACGUAAAGAUCGAUAUAUUGGAAGGCUAUAUUCGGACAUCGGAAAGGUUUCGAGUGAUUCGGCUAUUUUUCGGAGUACCGGAGAAUUACGAGAAUUCGCCGGGGGAAGUAUUGGGUCUUCAUGGGCCUAGUAGUGAAAGAGAGGAGGCAGGCCAAGGUGGGGCACGCGCCCCCCUAGCCCAAACCGAAUUGGACUAGGGGGCCGGCCCCCCUUUCCUUCUCUUCUUCCUCUCCUUCCUUUCUCUAAUACUUGGACAAGGAAAGGGGGGAAACCUACUCCUACUAGGAGUAGGAAUCCCCCCCUUGGGCGCGCCCUAUGAGGCCGGCCCUCCUCCUCCUCCCCUCCUUUAUAUACGGGGGAGGGGGACACCCCAAAGACACACAAGUUGACAUUGUCUUAGCCGUGUGCGGUGCCCUCCUCCACCAUAAUCCACCUCGGUCAUAUCGUUGCAGUGCUUAGGCGAAGCCCUGCGCUGGUAGCUUCAUCAUCAUCGUCAUCACGCCAUCGUGCUGACAAAGCUCUCCCUAGACACUCAGCUGGAUCGAGAGUUCGUGGGACGUCACCGAGCUGAACGUGUGCUGAUCACGGAGGUGCCGUACUUUCGGUACUAGGAUUGGUCGGAUCGUGAAGACGUACGACUACAUCAACCGCGUUGUCAUAACGCUUCCGCUUACGGUCUACGAGGGUACGUGGACUACACUCUCACCUCUCGUUGCUAUGCAUCACCAUGAUAGAUCUUGCGUGUGCGUAGGAUUUUUUUUGAAAUUACUGCAUUCCCCAACAGUGGCAUCAAAGCCAGGUCUAUGCGUAGAUAUUAUAUGCGCGAGUAGAACACAAAUGAGUUGUGGGCGAUAAUAGUCAUACUGCUUACCAGCAUGUCAUACUUUGAUUCGGCGGUAUUGUUGGAUGAAGCGGUCCGGACCGACAUUACGCGUAUGCUUACGCGAGAUUAGUUCUACCGACGUGCUUCGCACACAGGUGACUGGCGGGUGUCAGUUUCUCCAACUUUAGUUGAAUCGAGUGUGGCUACGCCCGGUCCUUGUUGAAGGUUAAAACAACACACUUGACGAAAAAUCGUUGUGGUUUUGAUGCGUAGGUAAGAACGGUUCUUGCUAAGCCCGUAGCAGCCACGUAAAACUUGCAACAACAAAGUAGAGGACGUCUAACUUGUUUUUGCAGGGCAUGUUGUGAUGUGAUUGUUGGGGAACAUAGCAGAAAUUCAAAAUUUUCUACGCAUCACCAAGAUCAAUCUAUGGAGUAAUCUAGCAACAAGGGAAGGGGAGUGCAUCUACAUACCCUUGUAGAUCGCUAAGCAGAAGCGUUGCAAGAACGUGGAUGAAGGAGUCAUACUCGUAGCGAAUUAGAUCGCGGUUGAUUCCGAUCUAAGCGCCGAACCACGGCGCCUCCGCGUUCAACACACGUGCAGCCCGGUGACGUCUCCCAUGCCUUGAUCCAGCAAGGAGAGAGGGAGAGGUUGGGGAAGACUCCGUCCAGCAGCAGCACGACGGCGUGGUGGUGGUGGAGGAGCGCGGUACUCUAGCAGGGCUUCGCCAAGCACCGCAAGAGACGAGGAGGGAGAGGGGUAGGGCUGCGCCAUGAGGGAAUGUUCUCGUGUCUAUGGCAGCCCCAAACCCCCACUAUAUAUAGGGGAAAGAAAGGGGCUGCGCCCCCACCUAGGUUUCCACCUCUAGGGGUGGCGGCCAGCCCUAGAUGGGACUUGGAGGGGCGGCCAAGGGGGGAGAGAGGGGGGGCGCACCACUAGGUGGGCCUUAGGCCCAUCUGAGCCUAGGGUUUCCCCUUUUCCCUUCUCUCCUCGCCUUGGGCCUUGGUGGGGGGGCGCACCAGCUCACCUGGGGCUGGUCCCCUCCCACACAUGGCCCACGCAGCCCUCUGGGGCUGGUGGCCCCACCUGGUGGACCCCCGGGACCCUCCCGGUGGUCCCGGUACGUUACCGAUAGCACCCGAAACUUUUCCGGUGACCAAAACAGGACUUCCCAUAUAUAAAUCUUUACCUCCGGACCAUUCCGGGACUCCUCGUGACGUCCGGGAUCUCAUCCGGGACUCCGAACAACAUUCGGUAACCACGUAUAUCUAUUCCCUAUAACCCUAGCGUCAUCGAACCUUAAGUGUGUAGACCCUACGGGUUCGGGAACCAUGCAGACAUGACCGAGACGUUCUCCGGCCAAUAACCAACAGCGGGAUCUGGAUACCCAUGUUGGCUCCCACAUGUUCCACGAUGAUCUCAUCGGAUGAACCACGAUGUCAAGGAUUCAAUCAAUCCCGUAUACAAUUCCCUUUGUCUACCGGUAUAGUACUUGCCCGAGAUUCGAUCGUCGGUAUCCCGAUACCUUGUUCAAUCUCGUUACCGGCAAGUCUCUUUACUCGUUCCAUAACACAUCAUCCCGUGAUCAACUCCUUGGUCACAUUGUGCACAUUAUGAUGAUGUCCUACCGAGUGGGCCCAGAGAUACCUCUCCGUUUACACGGAGUGACAAAUCCCAGUCUCGAUUCGUGCCAACCCAACAGACACUUUCGGAGAUACCUGUAGUGCACCUUUAUAGCCACCCAGUUACGUUGUGACGUUUGGUACACCCAAAGCAUUCCUACGGUAUCCGGGAGUUGCACAAUCUCAUGGUCUAAGGAAAUGAUACUUGACAUUAGAAAAGCUUUAGCAGACAAACUACACGAUCUUGUGCUAGGCUUAGGAUUGGGUCUUGUCCAUCACAUCAUUCUCCUAAUGAUGUGAUCCCGUUAUCAACGACAUCCAAUGUCCAUGGUCAGGAAACCGUAACCAUCUAUUGAUCAACGAGCUAGUCAACUAGAGGCUUACUAGGGACAUGGUGUUGUCUAUGUAUCCACACAUGUAUCUGAGUUUCCUAUCAAUACAAUUUUAGCAUGGAUAAUAAACGAUUAUCAUGAACAAGGAAAUAUAAUAAUAACCAAUUUAUUAUUGCCUCUAGGGCAUAUUUCUAACAGUCUCCCACUUGCACUAGAGUCAAUAAUCUAGUUCACAUCGCCAUGUGAUUAAUACCCAAGAGUUUACUAGAGUCAAUAAUCUAGUUCACAUCUCCAUGUGAUUGUAAUGAAUCCAACACCCAUGGGGUUUGUUCAUAUCUCGCUUGUGAGAGAGGUUAUUAGUCAACGGAUCUGAACCUUUCAGAUCCGUGUGUGCUUUACGAAUAUCUAUGUCAUCUUGUAGAUGCAGCUACCACGCGCUACUUGGAGCUAUUCCAAAUAACUGCUCUACUAUACGAAUCCGGUUUACUACUCAGAGUCAUCCGGAUUAGUGUCAAAGUUUGCAUCGACGUAACCCUUUACGACGAACUCCUUUUCCACCUCCAUAAUCGAGAAAAUUCCUUAGUCCACUAGAUACUAAGGAUAAGUUCGACCGCUGUCAUGUGAUCCAUUCCCGGAUCACUAUUGUACCCCUUGACUAACUCAUGGCAAGGCACACUUCAUGUGCGGUACACAGCAUAGCAUACUGUAGAGCCUACGUCUAAAGCAUAGGGGACGACCUUCGUCCUUUCUCUCUCUUCUGCUGUGGUCAGGUCUUGAGUCUUACUCAAUACUCACACCUUGUAACACAGCCAAGAACUCCUUCUUUGCUGGUCUAUUUUGAACUCCUUCAAAAUCUUGUCACGGUAUGUAUUCAUUUGAAAGUACUAUUAAGCGGGUUUUGAUCUAUCCUUAUAGAUCUUGAUGCUCAAUGUUCAAGUAGCUUAAUCCAGGUUUUCCAUUGAAAAACACUUUUCAAAUAACCCUGUAUGCUUUCCAGAAAUUCUACAUCAUUUCUAAUCAACAAUAUGUUAACAACAUAUACUCAUCAAAAAUUCUAUAGUGCUCCCACUCACUUGUUUGGAAAUACAAGUUUCUCAUAAACUUUGUAUAAACCCAAAAUCUUUGAUCAUCUCAUCAAAGCGUACAUUCCAACUCCGAGAUGCUUACUCCAGUCCUUAGAAGGAUUGCUGGAGCUUUGCAUACUUGUUAGCAUCUUUCAGGAUUGACAAAACCUUUGGUUGUAUCACAUACAACCUUUCCUCAAGAAAAUCGUCAAGGAAACAAUGUUUUGACAUCCUAUCUGCAAGAUUUCAUAAAUAAUGCAGUAACUGCUAAUAUAAUUCCAACAGACUCUUAGCAUCGCUACGAGUGAGAAAGUCUCAUCGCAGUCAACUCCUUGAACUUGUCGGAAAACAUCUUAACGACAAGCCGAGCUUUCUUAAUGGUGACACUUACCAUCAUUUUCUGUCUUCCUUUUAAAAUCCAUCUGCACCCAACAGCCUUACGACCAUCAAGUAUUUCUUCCAAAGUCUAUACUUUGCUUUUAUACAUGGAUCCUCUCUCGGAUUUCAUGGCCUCGAGCCAUUCGUCGGAAUCCGGGCCCACCAUCGCUUCUCCAUAGCUCGUAGGUUCAUUGUUGUCUAGCAACAUGACUUCCAAGACAGGAUUAUGUACCACUCUGAAGUAGUACGCAUCCUUAUCGACCUACGAGGUUUGGUAGUGACUUGAUCCGAAGUUUCAUGAUCACUAUCACAAGCUUCCACUUCAAUUGGUGUAGGUGCCACAGGAACAACUUCCUGUGCCCUGCUACACACUAGUUGAAGUCAUGGUUCAAUAACCUCAUCAAGUCUCCACCAUCCUCCCACUCAAUUCUUUCGAGAGAAACUUUUUCUCGAGAAAGGACCUGUUUACUUCCAGAUCUGAAACAGGAGGUAUACCCAACUGUUUUGGGUAUUCUAUGAAGAUGCAUUUAUCUGCUUUGGGUUCGAGCUUAUCAGCCUGAAACUUUUUCACAUAAGCAUCGCAACCCCAAACUUUUAAGAAACGACAACUUAGGUUUCUCUAAACAGUGUCGUCUCAACGGAAUUGCGUGGUGCCCUAUUUAAAGUGAAUGCGGUUGUCUCUAAUGCCUAACCCAUAAACGAUAGUGGUAAUUCGAUAAGAGACAUCAUGGUAUGCACCAUAUCCAAUAGGGUGCAGUUAUGAUGUUCGGACACACCAUCACAUUGUGGUGUUCCAGGCGGUAUUAAUUGUGAAACACUUUCCACAAUGUCUUAAUUGUGUGCCAAACUCGUAACUCAGAUAUCUCUAUGAUCAUAUCAUAGACAUUUUAUCCUCUUGUCACGACGAUCUUUCAACUUCACUCUGAAAUUACUUGAACCUUUUAAUAAUUUAGACUUGUGUUUCAUCAAGUAAAUACACUCAGCAUCUACUCAAAUGAUCUGUGAAGUAAGAACAUAACGAUAUCCACUGCAUGCCUCAGCACUCAUUGGACUGCACACAUCAAAAUGUAUUACUUCCAACAAGUUGCUCUCUUGUUUCAUCUUACUGAAAACGAGGCCUUUCAGUCAUCUUGCCCAUGUGGUAUGAUUUGCAUGUCUCAAGUGAUUCAAAAUCAAGUGAGUCCAAAUGAUCCAUCUGCAUGGAGUUUCUUCAUGCAUAUAUACCAAUAGACAUGGUUCGCAUGUCUCAAUCUUUUCAAAAACGAGUGAGUCCAAAGAUCCAUCUACAUGGAGCUUCUUCAUGCGUUCUAUACCAAUAUGACUCAAAUGGCAGUGCCACAAGUAUGUGGUACUAUCAUUACUAUUUUAUAUCUUUUGGCACGAACAUGUGUAUCACUGCGAUCGAGAUUCAUUUUAGGUGCAAGACCAUUGAAGGUAUUAUUCAAAUAAACAGAGUAACCAUUAUUCUCCUUAAAUGAAUAACCGUAUUGCGAUAAACAUAAUCCAAUCAUGUUUAUGCUCAACGCAAACACCAAAUAACAAUUAUUUAGGUUUAACACCAAUCUCGAUGGUAGAGGGAGCAUGCGAUGCUUGAUCUCAUCAACCUUGGAAACACUUCCAACACAUAUCGUCAUCUCACCUUUAGCUAGUCUCCGUUUAUUCCGCAGCUUUUAUUUCGAGUUACUAACACUUAGCAACCGAACCGGUAUCUAAUACCCUGGUGCUGCUAGGAGUACUAGUAAAGUACACAUUCAUAUAAUGUAUAUCCAAUAUACUUCUGUCGACCUUGCCUGCCUUCUCAUCUACCAAGUAUCUAGGGUAGUUCUGCUUCAGUGACCGUUCCCCUCAUUACAGAAGCACUUAGUCUCGGGUUUGGGUUCAACCUUGGGAUUCUUCACUAGAGCAGCAAAUGAUUUGCUGUUUCAUGAAGUAUCCCUUUUGCCCUUGCCCUUCUAGAAACUAGUGGUUUUACUAACCAUCAACAAUUGAUGCUCCUUCUUGAUUUCUACUUUCGCGGUGUCAAACAUCGCGAGUUGCUCAAGGAUCAUCAUGUCUAUCCCUGAUAUGUUAUAGUUCAUCACGAAGCUCUAAUAGCUUGGUGGCAGUGACUAUCGAGAACCAUCACUAUCUCAUCUGGAAGAUUAACUCCCACUCGAUUCAAGCGAUUGUAGUACUCAGACAAUCUGAGCACAUGCUCAACGAUUGAGCUUUUCUCCCUUAGUUUGCAGGCUUAAGAAACUUGUCAGAGGUCUCAUACCUCUUGACGUGGGCAUUAGUCUGAAAUCCCAAUUUCAGUCUUUGGAACAUCUCAUAUGUUCUGCGACGUUUCAAAACCGUCUUGUCGCCACAAUUUUAAACCGUUAGCAUCACACACUGAACUAUCACGUAGUCAUCAAAACGUGUAUGUCAGAUGUUUCGCAACAUCUACAGACGACGCUGAGGUUCAGCACACCGAGCGGUGCAUUAAGGACAUAAGCCUUCUGUGCAGCAAUGAGGACAAUCCUCAGUUCACGGACCCAGUCCGCAUAAUUGCUACUAUCAACUUUCAACUAAAUUUUCUCUAGGAACAUAUCUAAACAGUAGAACUAAAGCGUAAGUUAUGACACAAUUUGCAAAGACCUUUUGACUAUGUUCAUGAUAAUUAAGUUCAUCUGAUUAUUUAAUGAACUCCCACUCAGAUAGACAUCCCUCUAGUCAUCUAAGUGAUACAUGAUCCAAGUCAAACUAGGCCGUGUCUGAUCAUCACGUGAGACGGACUAGUCAUCAUCGGUGAACAUCUCCAUGUUGAUCGCAUCUACUAUACGACUCAUGUUCGACCUUUCGAUCUCUUGUGUUCCGAGGCCAUGUCUGUACAUGCUAGGCUCGUCAAGUCAACCUAAGUGUUUCGCAUGUGUUCCGAGGCCAUGUCUGUACAUGCUAGGCUCGUCAACACCCAUUGUAUGCGAACGUUAGAAUCUAUCACACCCGAUCAUCACGUGGUGCUUCGAAACAACGAACCUUCGCAACGGUGCACAGUUAGGGGGAACACGUCUCUUGAAUUUUAGUGAGGGAUCAUCUUAUUUAUGCUACCGUCGUUCUAAGCAAAUAAGAUGUAAACAUGACAAACAUCACAUGCAAAUCAUAAAGUGACGUGAUAUGGCCAAUAUCAUCUUGCGCCUUUGAUCUCCAUCUUUGAGGCGCGACAUGAUCACCUUCGUCACCGGCAUGACACCAUGAUCUCCAUCAUCAUGAUCUCCAUCAUCGUGUCUUCAUGAAGUUGUCUCGCCAACUAUUACUUCUACUACUAUGGCUAACGGUUAGCAAUAAAGUAAAGUAAUUACAUGGCGUUUUCAUUGGCACGCAGGUCAUACAAUAAAUUAAGACAACUCCUAUGGCUCCUGCCGGUUGUCAUACUCAUCGACAUGCAAGUCGUGAUUCCUAUUACAAGAACAUGAUCAAUCUCAUACAUCACAUAUAUCAUUCAUCACAUCCUUUUGGCCAUAUCACAUCACAUAGCAUACCCUGCAAAAACAAGUUAGACGUCCUCUAAUUGUUGUUGCAUGUUUUACGUGGCUGCUAUGGGUUUCUAGCAAGAACGUUUCUUACCUACGCAAAGGCCACAACGUGAUAUGCCAAUUUCUAUUUACCCUUCAUAAGGACCCUUUUCAUCGAAUCCGAUCCGACUAAAGUGGGAGAGACAGACACCCGCUAGCCACCUUAUGCAACUAGUGCAUGUCAGUCGGUGGAACCUGUCUCACGUAAGAGUACGUGUAAGGUCGGUCCGGGCGGCUUCAUCCCACGAUGCCGCCGAAUCAAGAUAAGACUAGUAACGGCAAGUAAAUUGACAAAAUCGACGCCCACAACUACUUUGUGUUCUACUCGUGCAUAGAAACUACGCAUAGACCUAGCUCUGAUACCACUGUUGGGGAACGUAACAGAAAUUCAAAAUUUUCUACGCAUCACCAAGAUCAAUCUAUGGAGUAAUCUAGCAACAAGGGAAGGGGAGUGCAUCUACAUACCCUUGUAGAUCGCUAAGCGGAAGCGUUGCAAGAACGCGGAUGAAGGAGUCGUACUCGUAGCGAAUCAGAUCGCGGUUGAUUCCGAUCUAAGCGCCGAACCACGGCGCCUCCGCGUUCAACACACGUGCAGCCCGAUGACGUCUCCCAUGCCUUGAUCCAGCAAGGAGAGAGGGAGAGGUUGGGGAAGACUCCAUCCAGCAGCAGCACGACGGCGUGGUGGUGGUGGAGGAGCGCGGUACUCCAGCAGGGCUUCGCCAAGCACCGCAAGAGACGAGGAGGGAGAGGGGUAGGGCUGCACCAUGAGGGAGAUGUUCUCGUGUCUAUGGCAGCCCCAAACCCCCACUAUAUAUAGGGGAAAGGGAGGGGCUGCGCCCUCACCUAGGUUUCCAUCUCUAGGGGUGGCGGCCAGCCCUAGAUGGGACUUGGAGGGGCGGCCAAGGGGGGAGAGAGGGGGGGCGCACCACUAGGUGGGCCUUAGGCCCAUCUGAGCCUAGGGUUUCCCCUUUUCCCUUCUCUCCUUGCCUUGGGCCUUGGUGGGGGGGGGGGCGCACCAGCUCACCUAGGGCUGGUCCCCUCCCACACUUGGCCCAUGCAGCCCUCUGGGGCCGGUGGCCCCACCUGGUGGAUCCCCGGGACCCUCCCGGUGGUCCCGGUACGUUACCGAUAGCACCCGAAACUUUUCCGGUGACCAAAACAGGACUUCCCAUAUAUAAAUCUUUACCUCCGGACCAUUCCGGAACUCCUCGUGACGUCCGGGAUCUCAUUCGGGACUCCGAACAACAUUCGGUAACCACGUAUAUCUAUUCCCUAUAACCCUAGCGUCAUCGAACCUUAAGUGUGUAGACCCUACGGGUUCGGGAACCAUGCAGACAUGACCGAGACGUUCUCCGGCCAAUAACCAAUAGCGGGAUCUAGAUACCCAUGUUGGCUCCCACAUGUUCCACAAUGAUCUCAUCGGAUGAACCACGAUGUCAAGGAUUCAAUCAAUCCCGUAUACAAUUCCCUUUGUCUACCGGUAUAGUACUUGCCCGAGAUUCGAUCGUCGGUAUCGAUACCUUGUUCAAUCUCGUUACCGGCAAGUCUCUUUACUCGUUCCGUAACACAUCAUCCCGUGAUCAACUCCUUGGUCACAUUGUGCACAUUAUGAUGAUGUUUUACCGAGUGGGCCCAGAGAUACCUCUCCGUUUACACGGAGUGACAAAUCCCAGUCUCGAUUCAUGCCAACCCAACAGACACUUUCGGAGAUACCUGUAGUGCACCUUUAUAGCCACCCAGUUACGUUGUGACGUUUGGUACACCCAAAGCAUUCCUACAGUAUCCGGGAGUUGCACAAUCUCAUGGUCUAAGGAAAUGAUACUUGACAUUAGAAAAGCUUUAGCAGACGAACUACACGAUCUUGUGCUAGGCUUAGGAUUGGGUCUUGUCCAUCACAUCAUUCUCCUAAUGAUGUGAUCCCGUUAUCAAUGACAUCCAAUGUCCAUGGUCAGGAAACCGUAACCAUCUAUGGAUCAACGAGCUAGUCAACUAGAGGCUUACUAGGGACAUGGUGUUGUCUAUGUAUCCACACAUGUAUCUGAGUUUCCUAUCAAUACAAUUUUAGCAUGGAUAAUAAACGAUUAUCAUGAACAAGGAAAUAUAAUAAUAACCAAUUUAUUAUUGCCUCUAGGGCAUAUUUCUAAUAGUGAUAUGGUCAAGACGUGAUGAGAUAUAAAUUGUUGUAUGAGAUGAUCAUGUUUUGUUAAAGUUAUCGGCAACUGGCAGUAGCCUUAUGGUUGUCUCUUUAUUGCAUAAGAUGCAAGCAUCAUAUAAUUGCUUUACUUUAUCGCUAUGCGAUAACAAUAGUUGCAAAAGCAAUAGUUGGCGAGACGACCAUGUGACGACACGUUGAUAGAGAUCAAGAUGAUGGAGAUCAUGGUGUCAUGCUUGUGACGAUGGAGAUCAUGACAGUACUUUGGAGAUGGAGAUCAAAGGCACAAGAUGAUGAUGGCCAUAUCAUGUCACAUAUUUUGAUUACAUGUGAUGUUUAUCUUUUAUACGUCUUAUUUUGCUUAGUUCGGCGGUAGCCUUAUAAGAUGAUCCCUUACUAAAAUUUCAAGGUAUAAGUGUUCUCCCUGAGUAUGCACCGUUGCAACAGUUCUUCGUGCUGAGACACCACGUGAUGAUCGGGUGUGAUAAGUGAGGGAGUCCUGGAUUAGGUGGUCCUCGGACAGUCGGACUAUAUGCUUUGGCCGGACUGUUGGACUAUGAAGAUACAAGAUUGAAGACUUCGUCCCGUGUCCGAAUGGGACUCUCCUUUGCAUGGAAGGCAAGCUUGGCAAUUCGGAUAUGUAGAUCUCCUCCCUUGUAACCGACUCUGUGUAACCCUAGCCCCCUCCGGUGUCUAUAUAAACCGGAGGGUUUAGUCCGUAGGACAACAACAAUCAUAAGCAUAGGCUAGCUUCUAGGGUUUAGCCUCUACGAUCUCGUGGUAGAUCAACUCUUGUAAUACUCAUAUCAUCAAGAUCAAUCAAGGAGGAAGUAGGGUAUUACCUCCAUCGAGAGGGCCCGAACCUGGGUAAACAUUGUGUCCCCCGCCUCCUGUUACCAUCCGCCUUAGACGCACAGUUCGGGACCCCCUACCCGAGAUCCGCCGGUUUUGACACCGACAUUGGUGCUUUCAUUGAGAGUUCCACUGUGCCGUCACCAUAAGGCUUGAUGGCUCCUUCGAUCAUCGGCAAUGAUGCGAUCCAGGGUGAGGUUUUUCUCCCCGGACAGAUCUUCGUAUUCGGCGGCUUCGCACUGCGGGCCAACUCGCUUGGCCAUCUGGAGCAGAUCGAGAGCUACGCCCCUGGCCAUCAGGUCAGGUUUGGAAGCUUGAACUAUACUGCCGACAUCCGCGGAGACUUGAUCUUCGACGGAUUCAAACCCAUGUCAGGUGCGCCGCACAGUCACGAUGAGCAUGACUUAGCUCUGUCAUCAGACGGUGUUCGGGAGAUCACACCUGUAGCUACUCCGGCCCUCAAGCCGGAGCAGAUCGCGCCGUCCGAGGAUGGGUGGAUGGACCCCGCCACGGAGGCCGCACACUCAGCGGCGAUAGAGCCGAAUACUGACUUCACGUCCUAUGAAACCUGUGUUGCCGGACACUUGGAUUCGUUCCCGGCCACGGGCUCUGAACCGCCUGCGUCCGUGCCUAUCGAAUCUAAUUGGGCACCGAUCAUGGAGUUUUCCUCCGCGGAUAUCUUUCAGCACUCGCCCCUGGGCGACGUGCUAAAUUCAUUAAGGUCUCUCUCCUUGUCAGAAGACCCUUGGCCGAACUAUGUCCGGCUUGAGUGGGAAGCGGACGACGAAGAAAUUCGUUACCCACCCACCACCCACUUAAUAGCCACUGUCGACGACUUAACCGACAUGCUCGAUUUCGGCUCCGAAGACAUCGACGGUAUGGACGACGAUGCAGGAGACGAACAGGAACCACCGCUCACAGGGCGCUGGAAUGCCACCUCAUCAUAUGAUAUAUACAUGGUGGACACCCCCAAAGAAAGCGAUGGCAAUAAGGCAAUGGAGGAUAAUCCCCCCGAGAAGCAAUCUAAGCACCGGCAUCAUCGGCGCCGCUCUAAGCCCCGCCAUAGCAAACGCAGCGAUACCGACACAAGAGACAAUAACGCUGUAGAGAGUGCCGAAGACGAAGACAAUCCCCUCCAGCCAGGCUUCGAGCGGGAGGAUGGGCAAGCUAGCCCUAAGGAACAGGCAGCAGACGGAGAAUCAGAGGAUGACAAUUACAUGCCUCUCUCCGAAAACGAGGUGAGCCUCGGCGACGAAGAAUUUAUCGUGCCUGAGGAUCCCGUCGAGCAGGAGCGCUUCAAGCGCCGGCUUAUAGCCACAGCAAAAAGCCUGAAGAAAAAGCAACAACAGCUUCAAGCUGACCAAGAUCUGCUAGAGGAUAGAUGGACUGAGGUCCUGGCGGCCGAGGAAUACGAACUCGAGUGCCCAACCAAAAGUUACUCAAAGCGCAGGUUGCUACCCCAACUCGAGGAGGAAGCAUUAAAGCCUAUGCUUCCAGCGUAUGAUACGGCUGACCGGCCACCUUGUGGCCGAGACAAAGCGGCAUAUCAGGCCGAAGUCCAGCCCGCACCCCGUCGCCAGUUAAAAAAAAAUACCAAGGCCCGGGGUAACACGCAGGACUUGCGAGACGUAUUAAAAACAAAGCAGGACAUGCAAGAUCGAUCUACAGAUCACGGGGGCGCGCCCCAACGCGUGACGACGACCGUCACGCCGGAUAUACUAAAAGCAAAUCCGGCAGGGCCGAAUACAGCAGACAAGACUCGUAUGAACUGCGUCGCGACAUAGCCCGGCAUAGAGGCGCCGCACACCCCCUAUGCUUCACUGACGAAGUAAUGGAUCACGAAUUCCCAGAAGGUUUUAAACCCGUGAACAUUGAAUCAUACGAUGGCACAACAGACCCCGCGGUAUGGAUUGAAGAUUUCCUCCUCCACAUCCACAUGGCCCGCGGUGACGAUCUACAUGCCAUCAAGUACCUCCCACUAAAACUCAAAGGGCCGGCUUGGCAUUAGCUGAAUAGCCUGCCGGCAAACUCCAUUGGCAGUUGGGAGAAUUUGGAAGACGCAUUCCUUGACAACUUCCAGGGAACUUAUGUGCGACCACCGGAUGCCGAUGACUUGAGUCACAUAACCCAACAGCCGGGGGAAUCAGCCAGGAAAUUCUGGACUCGGUUCCUAACUAAAAAGAACCAAAUUGUCGACUGUCCGGAUGCCGAGGCCUUAGCGGCAUUUAAGCAUAACAUCCGCGAUGAGUGGCUCGCCCGACACCUCGGCCAAGAGAAACCGAAGUCCAUGGCAGCCCUCACGACACUCAUGACCCGCUUUUGUGCGGGCGAGGACAGCUGGCUGGCUCGCAGCAAUAACACAUCAAGAAACCCUGUCAAUUCAGAUGCCAAAGAUAGCAAUGGCAGGCCACGUCGCAACAGACACAAGCGCCGCAACAACGGCGAUAACACCGAAGACACGACAGUUAAUGCCAGAUUCAGCGGCUCUAAAUCCGGUCAGCGGAAAAAGCCGUUCAAAAGAAGCAAUCCGGACCCGUCCAGUUUGGACCGCAUACUCGAUCGCUCGUGUCAAAUUCACGGCACACCCGAUAAGCCAGCCAACCACACCAACAGAGAAUGCUGGGUGUUCAAACAGGCCGGCAAGUUGAAUGCCGAAAACAAGGAAAAGGGGCUGCAUAGCGACGACGAGGAGGAGCCCCGGCCGCCGAACACAGGAGGACAGAAGAAAUUUCCUCCCCAAGUGAAAACGGUGAACAUGAUAUACGCAACCCAUAUUCCCAAGCGGGAAUGGAAGCGUGCACUAAGGGACGUCUAUGCGAUGGAGCCAGUCUCCCCAAAGUUCAACCCAUGGUCUUCUUGUCCGAUCACUUUCGAUCGCAGGGACCACCCCACUAGUAUCCGUCAUGGCGGUUCUGCCGCAUUGGUCCUUGACCCCAUCAUUGACGGAUUUCACCUCACUCGAAUCCUUAUGGAUGGUGGCAGCAGCCUGAACCUGCUCUAUCAGGAUACAGUGCGCAAAAUGGGUAUAGACCCCUCAAGGAUCAAACCGACAAAAACCACCUUUAAAGGUGUCAUACCAAGUGUAGAGGUCUGUUGCACGGGCUCAAUCACACUGGAAGUGGUCUUCGGAUCUCCGGACAACUUCCGAAGCGAGGAGUUAAUCUUCGAUAUCGUCCCCUUCCGCAGUGGCUAUCACGCACUGCUCGGACGAACCGCAUUCGCCAGAUUCAACGCGGUACCGCAUUAUGCAUACCUCAAGCUCAAAAUGCCAGGACCUCGUGGGGUUAUAACAGUUAAUGGAAACACAGAACGCUUGCUCCGUACGGAGGAGCACACCGCUGCCCUUGCAGCAGAAGUGCAAAGAAGCCUUCUGAGGCAAACCGCCAAUUCGGCGAAAAAGCCCCCGGACACCUUCAAGCGAGUCCGGAGUACCCUGCAACAGGAACAC
RNAcentral lists this long non-coding RNA (89141 nucleotides) under Triticum aestivum (bread wheat). RNAcentral's name for it is "long non-coding RNA (TAES_LNC008309)". The record is from RNAcentral. Lineage: Eukaryota; Viridiplantae; Streptophyta; Magnoliopsida; Poales; Poaceae.